Molecule: long non-coding RNA, 65143 nt
Filed under: Sorghum bicolor (sorghum)
Lineage: Eukaryota; Viridiplantae; Streptophyta; Magnoliopsida; Poales; Poaceae
Description: long non-coding RNA (SBIC_LNC000084)
Source: RNAcentral
GUCAGUGUGAAGGUCCGCCAACCCAUUGAGAUACUGAGAACAUGACUCCACGAUCCUGGUGCUCAUGUCAAUGGUGACCACCCACAUCUUCAUCAUCACGUACUCAUAGUCGCAGCAAAGGAAGUGCACCACAUGUGGCCUGUAGAUGUCCACCUGAGGGAACAUGAGAAUGUGGCGAGGGAGGUCCUUUGGGGCGUUUGCAGACCACAGCUCCUUGGAGGUGACCGUGUAGUCCUUCUUCCACUCCAUGGAUUCUAAGGAGAGGGUGUGGCAGGUGAUGGUGAAGCCACCAACACUGGUUUUGAGUGCCCCAUAGCCAACGCCAUCAUGGCGGGCGAUGUCAACAAACUUGAGCUUUCUGCCACCGACGUCGGACGCGCCACGAUACAGCCAGCUGGAUGGUUUGCCCCGGAUAGGAAACUCGUCAAGAGGGAAGCGGAGGAAGGAAACAGUAGGGGUGGGAUCUCCGAACACAUCGCAGAAGAGGAUGCCACGGUAGUAGUCGAUCCAGCACAGCCAGCGGCCAACAGGAAUGACAGUGUCGGUCUGCCAGAUGCAGAGUUGCCAGGUAUCAUCAGGGUCGGGGUUCUCGAAGCCAAGGAUUCCAUUACCAUCGGGCUUCUUGCAGAAGCUGCGGAUUGGUACGCGGCAGGAGUUCCAUUUGCCCUCGAUGGCACCAGUGGGUACAGCUAGUUUGUGCAGCCAAAAGAUGUCAGCAAAGACCUCAGGGGCACAGACCUUAGGGUCAGGGCAGCGGCCAGGCCUGAAAAGUCGUAGUUCUGCUACCACGAACUCCUGUUGGUCUCGGCACAAGAUGCCCAUGGAUCUGACCGCCAUCAGACGCGGUCGCUGCUCCUUGUUAGGAGGAGGGCGACGGCGACGGCGACGGCGACCACCACGACCACCACCAUGGAGGGGAUAAUCCAUGCAAGCGGGCAGUGCUUUGAGUUUGGAAGGGUCGUCGGCAUCUGAGGCGCUGUAGAUGAAGAGCUCCUGCCGCAAAUCAAAUGUAUCGUCCUCGAUACAGACGCGAAACAGGACGAGAUGUUGGUGGCUCGCCAGGAUGGCUAAGGGCACCUGUUUUAAGGGAUCCGGAAAGCCCGGCAGCCGCGCGUAGAGGCGGGAGAUCGCCGGGGGCUCGGCGAGCUCGAAGGCGAUGUCGAAGGGGGCCUCCCACCGGGUGAUGCCGGAAGCCCUGAUGGGCAACUUGUCCUCGUCCGGGAAGGCCUCGUCCAUGCGGAAGACGAAGCGCUCCAGCAUCACCCACUUGGGGGGGGAGGCGGCGGCAGAGGCGGCGGCGGCAGACAUGGCCGCGGACAUGGCGACCUUGAGACAGAUGAGGAAAUUAGGGGGGACCAGGGGGGAUCACCGUGAAGACAAAUCGGGAGAAUUGUAAGAAGAGGUGCCUUACCCACGGAGAAGUAGGCAGCUGCCGGCCGUCGAGAAGAGAGGAGGGGAGGCGGCAAGAGGCGUGCGGUAGAGGCUCCGGCGAUGCGGCGGCUUCCCGAUUCGAGGAACCAAAACAGAUCUAGGGUUUCGAAUUGGUGGCUGGAUUUUUUUUGAAUAAUAGGGUGGGGGGGUUUUUUGUUGAAACAAAAAUAAUAGGGUGGUUGGGAACUUGUAUAGGAUACGAAAGCUGUAUUGGUGGGCCUGCACUCUGGUCGGACUCUAUUGGACCAAACAUCUAUUCGUGUACGUACUAAUUCGAAGUGUUAAUUAAUAAAUAUAAAUUAAUGAUAAAACUAAUGGUACAAAAUAAGACUAAUUUGUAAGAUAAAUCUAUUCGAAUAUAAUUAGUUUAUAAUUUGAUAAUAUAGUACUAGUCAGUAAACUCUUGUUUGAUACGGAGUACGUACUAAUUUGAAGUGUUAAUAAUAAAUAUAAAUUAAUUAUCUUUUUCCUAAUAUAUAAUUGUGAAAAUUUCAGUCCAUUAUAUCUUUAUAUGUCCACCAGUAAGAUUAAUUAAACGAUGCUCCUCUCGUUCGGACCUAAUUUUCUAUUAUUUUUAGCUUAUUUUUCUGUUCAUGGCACGAAGACUCCUAGUCCAAUUGGGUUAGAAAAAAAAAAGAAAGUUAUGGGCUGAAUCUAACUCAGAAGCCUCACACGAGUUUAAACCAAUUUUAGACCGAAACAAGCGAAUAGUUGGGCUCGACUAAAAUCCAAAAUGACUAGAAAUUUUUCCUUUUUUAUUAUUAGAGAAGAAGAAGGAACUAUAGGACUUUGCUUUUUUUUCCUCCGAUUGACAUCUAAAUAAGGGGGUGUUUAGUUUCUCAUAGAAUCCAAAAUGUAAAAUACCAACUACUUUGGAAUGAUGAAAUACAAAAGGCCAAAAUUUUUAGGGUCAUGGUUAGUUCCAUCCAAAAUGCAGAAUUUAUUGUCCUCAUGAGAGCCUCUUGAGACUCUUUUUGGGUUUUUUUUGGUUUCUUAAGGUCAAAAUACAAAAUGGAGAAUAACCACAUUUUUUGCCAAAAUUUUUGCAUAGUGUUUAGUCCAUUUUGCAAAAUGGUUGACCAAAACCUAAAUUUUUUGAAAAAAGGGAAACUAAACACCCCCUAAAUAAAGAAAGUGGAGCAAAAUAAAGAACAUAAUUCUUAUCCUUUUCUAUUUGACUAUUAAGAGUUCUAUUUAGAAUACUUAGGAUGUGAGGAAUCUAUUUAUAUUAAGACUUCUACUCCACAUAUUGGUUUAGACGCAAGUUAUUCUAACUCGUAUGAGCAUGGGUUAUAUAUAUAAGUCCACAUAAAAGAAACAUUUCAUUGUUCGGUAGUUAGAGGAAGAUAGACAAAAAAAUAGAUGGGCAAAAAAAGAGCCUAAAAUUUUACCUCUUUAUUAUUAGAUAUAGAUAUAUAUAAUUAGGUAAUAGAGAUAUAGAUAUGGAUUUGAUAGCUUUUUUUCUCCCGUUGCAACGCACGGGCAUUUUUGCUAGGAAAACUAAUGGUACAAAAUAAGACUAAUUUGCAAGAUAAAUCUACGGCAGCGGAUGGCGGGAACUCGAGGUGGGCGAACACAGUGCCUCCGCCGCCGAGGACACUCACGGGGGUGGUGGCGUUGUUGGUGUAGACUACCCCUGCUCGUUGAGGAGCGCUUGUCAGCAUAGAAGUUAAGUUCAGUUGCUCGUUGAGAGUUCAGUUGCUCGUUGAGGAGUGCUAUAAAGGUACACAGGAUUUGAACAUGAACACUGACUCAGUAAGUGUAUGGCCCUCGCCCUAUUUUAACCUACUGUGAAAUGUCAAUGACCUGUAAUUUAAUUUUGCAGUCAUGGAUGAAUGAGUACAGGCGAUCAGUUCUACAUUAUCUUACCUUCCACCAAUCACAAGUCCUGAGACAGCUGCAAAAGAUAGGUUCAAUCCCUAUGCACUUCUCGUCAUCAGAAGCAGACGUUGUUGUAAUAGCUUGCACGCAGAAGGAAGACACUGAAUCACCAAAGAUGUAUAACAGAAGCUCUUGAAUCACAACAGCUGUAACAGAGCAUGCAACCCAUAUAUAUAUGGGUGCUCCAUACAUAAAGAAGCCGCUGUUAUUAAGUCGUGCGUGCGUUGAGGUCGAUGAUCACGAGUGAUAAAACGACAUUCAGAUUGUCCGUUUUUUGCUGGCGAGGAGCUGGUCCGUGUCUCCGGUUAAAGACAUCGUCCGUCUCCGUUAACCGGAGACUGUGCUUCUAGAGUUAGAUAUUUUGUAAAGAAGUGUGCUGAAUAUGGACACAUGGUAAAAUCAUGAGCCAUUGAGUCCUACAUAUAUACCUAGGACCCUCCUCAUGUGCUAACCAAACCCUCCAUUACCUUGCCUCCACAUUCUGUUAAUCCAAAAAACUACCAUAACUAACAUGUGGUCUCGUACAACCAUUUACUCCUCCGACGAGGAUGGUGACUCUGUCAACAACUACUCCUCCGAUGAGUAUGAUGACUCUGCCCUCUCAUCAGAGCCCUUUAGUAGCGUACCAAAUUCUCCUAAUGACUCUUAUGGAGAGGAGACCGAGUACGACAAGGAGGAGGACGACGAGAGCUCGGACGAGGACGAUGUUGAGGAGAGCUCGGACGAGGACGAUGAAGCGACAGAAGAGGCCAAGAAGAGGAAGCGAGCGAAGGAGCAUAGAGACAAGAAAGGGGCUGCGGAGAAGAGAAGGGUGGGGGAGGAGGAGGAGGAGGAGGAGGAGGAGGAGGUGGACUCGAAGAUGGCCAGGAAGUUUCAGAGUGCAGACUUCGACAUCGACGAUGGUCCCUCCAAUGUCGGUCCUAGGGCUCCUGCUAGUCUCGGUCCCAUGUCAGAUUCAUCGGAGAACUCCUCGAAGGGGUCGUCGUAGAUUAGAUUAUUCUGAUAGUCCGAUUCAGUGUUUUAUUUUACUCCUCACUGUCAGGGGCUCCUAUACAACUGAAAAUUAUAUAAAUUGCAUGCACAAAUCAACAAAUCCAUCUCCAAUAAAUUUCAGUCAAUUUUGCUAAAAAUUUUUUGUGUGUAUGCGAGUUUUUAGUUUUAGAGCCCGACUCUUGACGUGGGGGCGACCUAUAGGUCUAGUCACGCUAUUGUGCACAAAGUUGUUGCUUAAUUAUCAUAUUGAGUCAUCUCCAACAAAUUUUAGUCUAUUUUGCUAAUUGAGUCAUAUCAUGAAGUAGACAUGACUUAUAUCAUGAAGUAGACAUGACUUAUUGAGUCAUAUCAUGAAGUAGACAUGACUUAUACAAUUAAUUUUAUAAUUAAUUUAUAUAAAUUAUACAACUGAAAAUUAUAUAAAUUGCAUGCACAAAUCAACAAAUCCAUCUCCAAUAAAUUUCAGUCAAUUUUGCUAAAAUUUUUUUGUGUGUAUGCGAGUUUUUAGUUUUAGAGCCCGACCCUUAACCGGCAUCAGUUCCCUUAACCGGCAUCAGUUCCCUUAACCGGUGUUAAUUCUCUUAACCGGCGUUAUGUCGCUUAACCGGCGUCAAUUCCCUUAACCGGCGUCAGUAACCUUAACCGGCCUCAAUUCCCUGAACCGGCGUCAAUUCCCUUAACCGGCGUCAGUAACCUUAACCGGCAUCAGUAACCUUAACCGGCAUCAAUUCCCCUUAACCGGCCUCACUUCCCUUAACCGGCGUCAGUUCCCUUAACCGGCCUCAAUUCCCUUAACCGGCCUCAAUUCCCUUAACCGGCCUCAAUUCCCUUAAUCGGCGUGAAUUCCCUUAACCGGCGUCAGUAACCUUAACCGGCAUCAGUAACUUUAACCGGCAUCAAUUCCCCAUAACCGGCCUCAAUUCCCUUAACCGGCGUCAGUUCCCUUAACCGGCGUGAAUUCCCUUAACCGGCGCCAAUUCCCUUAACCGGCGUCAGUAACCUUAACCGGCAUCAGUAACCUUAACCGGCAUCAAUUCCCCUUAACCGGCGUCAGUUCCCUUAACCGGCGUCAAUUCCCUUAACCGGCCUCAAUUCCCUUAAUCGGCCUCAAUUCCCUUAACCGGCAUCAGUAACCUUAACCGGCAUCAGUUCCCUUAACCGGCGUCAAUUCCCUUAACCGGCCUCAAUUCCCUUAACCGGCAUCAGUAACCUUAACCGGCAUCAACUUGAGGACUAGGCUCCCGUGGCGCGCAGGCGAGGGGGCGCGCCGGUGGCAGAUUUUGGCCACUGGAGUGGGGGGAGGGGCGGUGGCGCCGGUGAGGUGUAGUGUGGGGAGCGAGUGCGGGCGAGGCAGGGAGGCGGAGGGGGAGAGAGGCGCCACGUCAGACAUGCCUAUGUGGCGUCACGUAGGCCAAAACAGCCAUUAAAACCACCGAGGUUGAAAAAAGGACGGUUUUAAUAGUUCAGGUGCCCUGAACAACUGGUUUCGUGGUUGAGGGUUUUAAAUCAGUAAACAAUUAUCGUUGUUAUUUUCUUAUAGUUCAAAUGUAAGCCCGAAAUAUUAUUAAAGGAUGCUCAUGGUUAUAUAUAAUUAUUGCCAUAUAACUUCAUGUGUACUCUGUAUUUCAUUUCACUUCAUUAUUCUAAAGAGAUGGCUUAUGUCGAGAAAAGAUGUCUUGAAAUUCAUGUGUACUUUGUUUGGUUCCAUCAUGAUUCUGGGAUUAGCAAGUUCAUGGGGAAGUUGGGGAUUAGUUUUUCUUAUUUGCUAAGCUGAGUUUGCACACGUGUCUUCGUAGAUGACACACUUCAUUUAUACUGUUUAGUAUACUGUUUCGGUCUCGCGCGUACGUGCGGGUGGCUCUUGCGCCACGACUUGCGCUCCUCGGCGAGGCGGCAGCAGGCGACGCCUCCGGACGCCAUCCGACGCGCUAGCUGCUCGCUCUCGCUUGUGGAUGUGGUGGACUCGAGCUUGCGCGCUGUUCGUACCGGCCACGCCGUCGUCUUCGUUCUCUCCGGCGGGGUUACAUGUGAGACCGCGAGGACGGCGGGCCGGGGGUUGAAUAGGGGGUUAGUGCGGAGCGUGGAGGUCAAGCCGAACAGAUAAACACCGAAGGUGCCACUGGCCAGGUAGAGACGUGGUCCCCGCCGUCCGGUAGAUUGGCCGCCGGGACGCCGGUGGGAUCCAGAUAUCAGCGGGAGAAGCGUGAGGGGAAGGUCUGGGACGGGAACGCGGGACUGGGCGUGGGCGCGGCGAGGCUUCGGACGCAAGGCAAGGGGUUCCGUGUUCAAGAGGACCGGUCAUGCUAAAGCAGGCAGGAUGGGACCCGCGAUGGACUGUUGUCGUUGCCGGACAACGGAGACCAGCAGUCGCUGGGCCUUGACUCUUGUGCACGCCACCGCUGCUCCGCGACUGUAGCUGUGACUCGGCCACCAGCACAUGGUGGAGGUGAGCGCGAGAGGUUUAGGGUUUAGGGUUGAUCAAGGUGAACGGGGUGGCGAUGGCUUGGCGAGGAUCCGCGUUCGCGGCGGAACCCAGGAUCCGCGUCUGCGGCGGAACCCCGUUCACCUUGGUCGUAGCGGCCGAAGAUGUCCUGGUGGCCUCGACUUCCCUCCGUCGUGGACGCGGAUCCUCAUGCUUUGGCCGCAAGAAGACGGCGGUGGCCGCAAGGUUAGUCUAGCACCUCUUCAUCGCUUGAUUCUCCCUGAACCAGUGAAUCCCAACUCAAAUCAGUCUGUGAGUUUUCGUUCUUGGUAGAUGAUGCAUUCUCCUCUUUCUUCUUGUAGGUUCGAUUGAAAUUAGGUGCAUCAUAACUAGUAUCACUUACGAACUGCACCAAUGGGGUGGUUAUGGUGGCCUGUGGAAAUCUUCUUUUUAUAUAGUAAAUUUAGGAGUAACUUUUUGGAACAAAACAAGGCCAAGAACCCACAACAGCAGCUGUCACAAUGGAGUCACAAGGACCCGGCAGCUGUUUGCCUUGCCUGCCUCACCCGCUACCGUCGGAUGAUACGUGAACGGCGGAAAACCUUGAUGGGCGAUGGGUUUCAAACCAGAUGGCCGAGGAAUCCAGUUAUCACGCCACAACCGUACAGACUUGCCAUCUCCAAUACGCCACACAACACCUUUUUUAAUCAACUCCAGCCCAUACUCAACGGCCCUCCAUGUCGCCGAAGCAUCAUUAGCUGUUACCGUGUCUAGCAGAUUACCAGAUGGGUAGUAUUUAGCUUUCAAGACUUGCGCACAAAAGCUAUCAGGGCAAAUCAGCAAGCGCCAAGCUUGGCGUGAAAGCAGUGCUUGGUUGAAUAGCUACAAAUCUUUAAAUCCCAUACGCCGUUGACCAGGUCAGUACCGGCUUGCCUCCAUCCCCUCUCUCUGCAAAACUCGUUCCUCCUCGAUGGUGAGCCAAGUUGCACGGGCGGUGGCGUCGCGCUCCAUGACGGCGUUGGCGAGGUCUCCGGUCAUGAGCUGAUUAAGCAAUUUUACUCAUGACGGCGUUGCACGCCUCCUUGGCGAGGCGCUCCUGCUCCUAGCGCUCCUCCUCGGCCUUUUGAUCGGCAGGGUUGGGAGGAGCGGAGGCCUUCUUGGCGGGGUCGAUGAGAUCGGAACCGCCGCCGAGGCCGGGAGCGGAGGGGGCUCCAGUCAUGGCGCGACAGGGAUGGAGGGCGGCGACGCCAGGGGGUAGGGGUCAGCGGCGUCGGUGGCAUCUCGCUAGGGUUGCGAAGUCCUCGUGGAGGCUACCGGCUUAUAGACAUCCACUUAGUUAUGAGUCAUCCACUUAGUUAUGAGACAUCCAUAAAUUUGGGCGAGACAUCUACUCCUCCUUGGCGAGGCGCUCCUGCUCCUAGCGCUCCUCCUCGGCCUUUUGAUCGGCAGGGUUGGGAGGAGCAGCAAUUUUACUCAUGACGGCGUUGCACGCCUCCUUGGCGAGGCGCUCAUGCUCCUAGCGCUCCUCCUCGGCCUUUUGAUCGGCAGGGUUGGGAGGACCAGAGGCCUUCUUGGCGGGGUCGAUGAGAUCGGAACCGCCGCCGAGGCCGGGAGCGGAGGGGGCUCCAGUCAUUUACAGGCGACGAGAUAUUGCAUGUGGAGUGUGCAGUACGUACCGGCUCUGUACCGGCUCUGUUCCUCUAACUAAUCCUGUGGCAUCCUUUUGCUCUGUUAUUAAACUCGUUCAGUAUUGUCAAUUUUCGUCAGUAAUAAACUGCAAGAGGUACUGCAGUCGAUGUGAGUGGUUUGUUCAAUUGAUUAACCACCGAAUGCUUCUGUAAAAAGUGGCCAACACUUCUGAAAGAUAAGAUUAUAGAGUAGUAACAUUUUGUGAUAAAACUAAGACAAGAAAGUACACUAUGCACAAGUUCCUGAAUUCUUACAGAGCCAACUUCUUUGUUUGUUUGUUCUAUUUGUUGUGGUAAAAAAAUUGUGCUUGUUCACUUUCUUGCAGGGGCGGGCCCACGUGUAUUCAUGGGUAUUCAACUGAAUACCCAUUAUUUUUGACAAAAAAAUUUGUAUGUAUAGUGUAUACCAAGCAUAUAUACCAAAACAAACAAAAAAAAAUAGCAUGUGUUCUCAUCAAUUCUAGCCCGUUAAGGCAAAAAGCUCAUCUCCCUCCUCUUCCCGAAGGCCCAAACGGCCCAAACGGUCCAAACCUAAACUCCACCCACCACCAGCCCAUCUGACCAUCUCUGAUUCAGUCGAAUCGUUCCCCAUCGACGCUCAUUCGCUCCCGUCGCGGCUCGCCCUCGCCCUCUCGUCACGCCGUCACCGCGUCGGGCGUCGGCGGGUGCUGACCCUAGGCGGCGGCCGCCGGCCAGCAGCGAACAGCCCAGGCGCGGAGGCGCCCACCAGCGGAGCAGAGAGGGCAGUUCGCGGGAGAAAAGCAGCGGGAAAGGCUGUCCCACGUUCCCUGAUUCCUAGAAUCCAGCUCAGGCUUUCGCCCUCUGCUAAUCCGUCUCCCGAGCCGUGAGAGUGCAAAGAUCGGUAUGGGCUUCUUCAAUUCCCAUUUCCUUUUUUGGUAGAAAACGCAACUCUACUUGUUUUUCGCCGAGAUGCCUUUGGUUGGUUCAUUCGUUGGGUCAUCUGUUUGUUUCUUACCCCAUUGUGAAAUCAGGAUGGAUGAUUUCGUUUCCUUGGUGUAUAGGUCGUACUAGCCAGCAGCCCAGCAAGGCGGCGGCGCGGGCACGCGGCGCGGCACUGCGGCAGGCCAGCAAGGUCCGGGAAGGCGGCGUGCAUCUCUAGGACUCCGAGCUGGGCUCCAGGAAGGUGAGCCGUGAGCCGAUUUGGAUCUGAAAAAUAGAAUAAGAGUCGUUGGACCUGCUGUUAGACCACUAGUGCUAGUGGUGAUUUACGAAUUUUGAUUUCCAUCCGUAAUCCGUUUCUGAUUGCAACUUGUGUGUUGCGUGAUUACGAAUUUUAUGUGAGAAAGGAAGACAGUAGUGCUACUACUACUGAUUUGAGGCAAUUUUUUUGCAAAGGAAGGCAUUUUAGGUUCAAAUCUAUAGGAUGCAAAUUUUCUUAUAAAUUGGUUGUUUUAUCAUCUAUUUAUUUCAGACAUUGAAGCUUUGAUAUGUUGUGUUGAAUAUCUUCAAAUUUGAAGUAAUUUUAUUAAUCGAUGAUGUUUGUACUCGAUUUUUUGUUGUGCAUUAAUAAUUUAGCCCGUCUAUAAAAAAAAUGUUCUGUUAUUUAAAAAUUUGAAUACCCAUGUUCAAAAUCCUAGGCCCGCCCCUGCUUUCUUGUGGUAUGAUUGUCCAAUAUUUCAGUUGUUUGUUCACUUUGUACACUUAACUAGUAUGUUCAAGAUGAUGUGGUAAAUUUUGUUGUGCUUGUUCACUUGGUUGCUUCUUCAAAAUUACGUGUAUGAAAUAUGGUGCUGAAAUAUAAUCAAAUUUGUAUAGUUUGUUUGGUAGUUUUUGUCCUGUUCUUGCGUUAGUAUUACUGAUAUAGGGUUCUGAUAUUGUCCAAUACAGUUUCAAGUGUUAAUGCAUCUGGUGCUGAAAUAGUCCAAUAGUAUUACUGAUAUAUGGUGCUGAAAUUGCUGUAGCAUUACUGAUAUAUGGCGCUGCAGGUCUCGUUCGAGGAGAGCAAGGGCACGGUCAUCUGUUGCUGUCCAAGGAAAGCUGGAAGGUACGCAUUUCCUCCCUGUCUCCUCUUUCUUCCUCCCUUUUCCCCUCGUUCCUUGUGUACUGUGCAUCUGGCUGUGCUUUGGAUUUUGCUAUGAACACUUCAUUAUAUGUUUAAAUAUCUGACGCUCCGUUAGUCGUUCAGAUCUAGUUUAUAUUGUCUCUACUAUGUCUUUGUAUGUGUUAAGUUCAUUCACUGUAACAUCCCGGGUGCGCUGUAGUAUGAUCGUCUACUUCUGUAUCUGGCCUCAUUUCAGGGCCCAUAUGGUGUAGCUCUAGUGUUAUCGCAUAAAUUCUUUAGGUUGCUAUAUCUCAUAGUAAUUGUGUAUACUUAUCUGCAAUUAGAUUGUCCACAUUCACAUUAUGAAGCACUCAGUUGGCUAGUGAUGUAUGCCAGGCAUUAUCCAUGCACUUGUUUAAUUUAUAAACGUGUGCACUUGGUGAUUCAUUUCAUUCUGAACCAUGAACUCGUUAUUUUUGUGAUGAAUCUGCAUCUCACGGAAAAUCUAAAUGUUAAGGUCAUCAAGUUCAUGGUCCUAGCUAGUGUAUUCAGAUUAGGAGUCAUGGUCAUAUUCUGUGGUCAUAUUCAGAUGCUUCUGUAAAUGUUAGUUUCUAUCUAUCCUAAUUUCUAUCUCUGAAUAUGGAUUUGUUCUAAUUUGUAUCUUGUUUUUUUUAUCUUGUUCUAUCUAUAGUUAGGUUGUUUCUUUUUUGAAGUCACGUUGGUGUGUACUAGUGACAGUAUCUUAGACACAAAAAAAUUCACUCGCAGUGCAUAAUUUGACAAGUCUAGGAUACGCUUUGAAGCAGAUCGUUCGAUUUGCUCUUGAUUGUUACUUUUUUAUACAUUUAAAAAUUAAUUGGCUGCUGGUUUCAGCAUAUUCUACUGAUGAUAGUUGACUUGCAAGUUGACACAACUUAUCGUUUUCUCUAGUUUUUCGCCGAGAUGCCUUUGGUUGGUUCAUUCGUUGGGUCAUCUGUUUGUUUCUUACCCCAUUGUGAAAUCAGGAUGGAUGAUUUCGUUUCCUUGGUGUAUAGGUCGUACUAGCCAGCAGCCCAGCAAGGCGGCGGCGCGGGCACGCGGCGCGGCACUGCGGCAGGCCAGCAAGGUCCGGGAAGGCGGCGUGCAUCUCUAGGACUCCGAGCUGGGCUCCAGGAAGGUGAGCCGUGAGCCGAUUUGGAUCUGAAAAAUAGAAUAAGAGUCGUUGGACCUGCUGUUAGACCACUAGUGCUAGUGGUGAUUUACGAAUUUUGAUUUCCAUCCGUAAUCCAUUUCUGAUUGCAACUUGUGUGUUGCGUGAUUACGAAUUUUAGGUGAGGAAGGAAGACAGUAGUGCUACUACUACUGAUUUGAGGCAAUUUUUUUGCAAAGGAAGGCUUAUAGGUUCAAAUCUAUAGGAUGCAAAUUUUCUUAUAAAUUGGUUGUUUUAUCAUCUAUUUAUUUCAGACAUUGAAGCUUUGAUAUGUUGUGUUGAAUAUCUUCAAAUUUGAAGUAAUUUUAUUAAUCGAUGAUGUUUGUACUCGAUUUUUUGUUGUGCAUUAAUAAUUUAGCCCGUCUAUAAAAAAAAUGUUCUGUUAUUUAAAAAUUUGAAUACCCAUGUUCAAAAUCCUAGGCCCGCCCCUGCUUUCUUGUGGUAUGAUUGUCCAAUAUUUCAGUUGUUUGUUCACUUUGUACACUUAACUAGUAUGUUCAAGAUGAUGUGGUAAAUUUUGUUGUGCUUGUUCACUUGGUUGCUUCUUCAAAAUUACGUGUAUGAAAUAUGGUGCUGAAAUAUAAUCAAAUUUGUAUAGUUUGUUUGGUAGUUUUUGUCCUGUUCUUGCGUUAGUAUUACUGAUAUAGGGUUCUGAUAUUGUCCAAUAUAGUUUCAAGUGUUAAUGCAUCUGGUGCUGAAAUAGUCCAAUAGUAUUACUGAUAUAUGGUGCUGAAAUUGCUGUAGCAUUACUGAUAUAUGGCGCUGCAGGUCUCGUCCGAGGAGAGCAAGGGCACGGUCAUCUGUUGCUGUCCAAGGAAAGCUGGAAGGUACGCAUUUCCUCCCUGUCUCCUCUUUCUUCCUCCCUUUUCCCCUCGUUCCUUGUGUACUGUGCAUCUGGCUGUGCUUUGGAUUUUGCUAUGAACACUUCAUUAUAUGUUUAAAUAUCUGACGCUCCGUUAGUCGUUCAGAUCUAGUUUAUAUUGUCUCUACUAUGUCUUUGUAUGUGUUAAGUUCAUUCACUGUAACAUCCCGGGUGCGCUGUAGUAUGAUCGUCUACUUCUGUAUCUGGCCUCAUUUCAGGGCCCAUAUGGUGUUGCUCUAGUGUUAUCGCAUAAAUUCUUUAGGUUGCUAUAUCUCAUAGUAAUUGUGUAUACUUAUCUGCAAUUAGAUUGUCCACAUUCACAUUAUGAAGCACUCAGUUGGCUAGUGAUGUAUGCCAGGCAUUAUCCAUGCACUUGUUUAAUUUAUAAACGUGUGCACUUGGUGAUUCAUUUCAUUCUGAACCAUGAACUCGUUAUUUUUGUGAUGAAUCUGCAUCUCACGGAAAAUCUAAAUGUUAAGGUCGUCAAGUUCAUGGUCCUAGCUAGUGUAUUCAGAUUAGGAGUCAUGGUCAUAUUAUGUGGUCAUAUUCAGAUGCUUCUGUAAAUGUUAGUUUCUAUCUAUCCUAAUUUCUAUCUCUGAAUAUGGAUUUGUUCUAAUUUGUAUCUUGUUUUUUUAUCUUGUUCUAUCUAUAGUUAGGUUGUUUCUUUUUUGAAGUCACGUUGGUGUGUACUAGUGACAGUAUCUUAGACACACAAAAAUUCACUCGCAGUGCAUAAUUUGACAAGUCUAGGAUACGCUUUGAAGCAGAUCGUUCGAUUUGCUCUUGAUUGUUAUUUUUUUAUACAUUUAAAAAUAAAUUGGCUGCUGGUUUCAGCAUAUUCUACUGAUGAUAGUUGACUUGCAAGUUGACACAACUUAUCGUUUUCUCUAUUGUAGGACAGCAGGUCCCCAGAUGAAGAGUCAGAAGUUGGGCGCACAAGGAGAAAGAGAUGAGCGCUUGUGUAUUGACUUUGGCUUUAAGGCCCAAGAGGUUAUGGAAGCAGCGGCUUGUCUUGAUGAAGCAGAGCGAGAUGAAGUUAAGCAACUUGGGUAUGGAGCUUUCCUAAACCUAAAGUUGGGACCAAUCAGCCAGCGCAAGGAAACCUAUCUGUGUAUGGAGCUAGUUGAUCUGGAAGAGGAUGCGAUCAAGGUGCAGCUACAAAAUGAUGUAAUUGUAUACAUCAGACCAGAUGAGAUCUAUGAUCUCUUGAUGCUGCCCCAAGGUACUAAGGCCCCCCUCAAGUACAAUUCGCAACAACAUGAGGACUUUGCUCGAUUGAAGGCUGAAUUGGGUGAAACGUUGUUGGACACUGCGAAUAUAUUGAAGUUUAUGAAAAAAGAGGAGAACAAACAUUUGAAGGUCAAAUGUUUUUUCAACAUUCUCUUUUCAAGAUUUCUAAUGCCUACCACUUCACAAAGUAUAAACGUACAUGCAGUGAUGUACACAAGGAAUUUGGCAAGCCUCAAGGAAUAUAACAUGUGUAAAAUAGUGUAUGAGCAUCUCAGGGGUUCUAUCAAAAUUUGGAAGGAGCAGAGGCAGAAUGCAAAAAACAAGGCAUCACUUACUAUGCCUGGUUGCCCAAUCAUAGUUCUGGUAAGCAUUCUGGUGCUCUCAUCAAUUACUAGCUUUUUUUACCUGCCCAGCUAGCUGUCAUCUUUGGAUUUUUUUUAUCGUGCUUGAGUUGCCUGCUUCAUAUGGAUUUGAUGUGCCUGCUUCACAGUUAACUUGUUUAACUGUAUAUUCGGUUGUCAGGGAUUUAUUGUCGAUAAUUUGAAACUGACGGAUAGUGUAAACAAGAAUCGUCCUCGGCUCAAUGAGUAUGAUAUGGCGACUUUGACGGAUACUAUUCGUAAGGCUAAGGUCAAUGGCAGGAUCUCCUUCGAGAACUUUGAGGUAUUGAUCAUCUCUUUAUCUUGAAAGCAUACUAUGCCGUACUUGGCUUCAUAUCUUACAUCUUCUCUUCAAUUUCCCAUUUCAGUUGAAAUCUCUAGAGGAGAUCUGCUAUGCGCCAUCAUCAAGAUUUUGCAUCCAGUCCGCAGUUGACUCCCAAGAUGUAAGAUCUGCUAUGGUGACUUCUGCCGUGGUAACUUUGCCUGAGUCUCAAGAAGCUAUCCAGUCCGCAGUUCAGAUCCUUUCUUCAGUGCAGAAUCCUGAAUCUUUUGGAGUUGACCGAGCAAAUCUUGAUGCAUGCAUAGCUGGAUUAUCUGCAUUGCAGCCAGUUGGUGCUUCCUGCAGCAAUGUUGGUGCCUCCUGCAGCAUUUCUGAAGCUGCUGAAGCUACCAGCACAAAGAAGGCUGAUGAAGAAGAGACCAUUGCAUUGCAGCCAGUUGGCUCUUCCUGCAGCAAUGUUGGUGACUCCUCCAGCAUUUCUGACAACACAAAGAAGGCUGCUGCUGCUGCGGUGCCUGAAGCUGCCAACACAGCUGUGCAUGAAGAAGGGAUUUCUAAAGCUGCCAAGUCAAGAAGCCGUGCUACCAAGACGCCUGGUCUACCAACAAGGAGGAGCGCGAGGCUCAAUGCUGCUGCUGUUGAGCCCAAUGCUGCUGUUGAGCCCGGUGAUGUAAUUUCACCAAUUAAGUCACCAAUUAAGAAGCUAGCCAAAAAAAACAAAAACAAGUAAGAAGAACGUUGAUGAGCCUAGUUCCCCGUGCUACUGCAAGUUGCUCCCUAGCUAUGACGCAGCAGGGUGUCAGUGUGUCACCUCUGCUGUGUUUUGAGCUGUUCUUUUGCCCCGCUGUGGGUGUGUGUUAAAACUUGUUGACGUUGAAGCCAUGACUUGCUAGUUUUUUUCUUCACAUUCAGAUUUCAGGAGCUUGUCCUGGUUGCAGAACUAGUGGAAGAAGGCACGCCUGAAAGAAGGAAGAAGUGAUCCUGCUGCUAAUGCAUGAUAGGUUGUACAUACAGUAGCUGGUAGCUGGUAGCUGGUAGCUGGCGGUAGUAGAUGUAUAUUUUGAAGCUGCAAUGCUGCAGGGCUGUUAUCUAGAAAGAGGGCUGGUUGCCAUGAAACUCCUCAAUACCGUAUUUGUUAAUGCCUAGUUCUUUAGCUCGAGGUUGCCGCCGAAAUGGAGUACUUUAAAACCCCUUGUUGAAGCUAAAACCUUCCUCGUAAAACCGGUUUUAUUAUGUCGUCGAGCAGACCAUUAAAUAUUAAGUAUGAACUUUGUGCUUUCUGGCGAGAUAGUACUUCAGGUUUUACUAUUUCUCUCUGGGCUACUAAAAUCUCCUUUAUAAAACCGGCUUUAUUAUACCGUCGAGCAGAUGAGCACUUCGGGUUUCACUCGAUGUCUCUGGGGUGCUAAAACCUUACUGAAUAGAUGUAUCCAUAUCAAAAGUAAAUAUGAGACGUCGGUAAAGUGUGAUGACUGCUUUUUUUCAACGUUAUUUAGUAUGAAAUAAGUUGUAAGGAGACAAAGUUUCAGUUAAUAUUACCUACUCUAUGCAGACAUCCAUUUGGGGGAGGGAAAAAAAGUUAAUUAGUUGAGUGGAGCCUUGCAAAGAAAUAUUGCUUCCACUUAGAGGGUCAUCAUCUACAACUAAUUAACUUUCAAAUUAAUAAAAAGCAGGAUGCAUUAUAAGCAGGAUGCAUUACAAACUCGUCCCAAUUUCGUUUACGCGCGGCCCACUGCGGAAGGCCGAGCCCAGCAGCCUGUUUACAGCCCUCCCCGCUCCGCCACCCUCCCGACCAGAUCUGAACUCUCCCUCAGACCUCGCUCAACCCUCCCCGCUCCUCCUCCCCACCUGCGCCGCCGCCACCUUCACCGUCGCCCCGAGCCGCCGCCGCCACCGCCGCCUUCGUCUCACCGGCGCCAUCAAAAGAUUCUUCACCCUCUUCUCACCGGCAGACAGCAGGUUCAGGUCAGUAAUCGACCAUUAUGAUUUAGAUGAUUAGUUGAAGUUAGUUUAGGUACCACAUUUGAAGGGGAAAUGAUGGCGCAAAGGGUAUCUUCUGCAUGUUUCCAUGAUGUCCUUGGCGAGGCGCUCCUGCUCCUAGCGCUGCUCCUCGGCCUUUUGAUCGGCAGGGUUGGGAGGAGCGGAGGCCUUCUUGGCGGGGUCGAUGAGAUCGGAACCGCCGCCGAGGCCGGGAGCGGAGGGGGCUCCAGUCAUGGCGCGACAGGGAUGGAGGGCGGUGACGCCAGGGGGUAGGGGUCAGCGGCGUCGGUGGCAUCUCGCUAGGGUUGCGAAGUCCUCGUGGAGGCUACCGGCUUAUAGACAUCCACUUAGUUAUGAGUCAUCCACUUAGUUAUGAGACAUCCAUAAAUUUGGGCGAGACAUCUACUCCUCCUUGGCGAGGCGCUCCUGCUCCUAGCGCUCCUCCUCGGCCUUUUGAUCGGCAGGGUUGGGAGGAGCAGCAAUUUUACUCAUGACGGCGUUGCACGCCUCCUUGGCGAGGCGCUCCUGCUCCUAGCGCUCCUCCUCGGCCUUUUGAUCGGCAGGGUUGGGAGGAGCGGAGGCCUUCUUGGCGGGGUCGAUGAGAUCGGAACCGCCGCCGAGGCCGGGAGCGGAGGGGGCUCCAGUCAUGGCGCGACAGGGAUGGAGGGCGGCGACGCCAGGGGGUAGGGGUCAGCGGCGUCGGUGGGAUCUCGCUAGGGUUGCGAAGUCCUCGUGGAGGCUACCGGCUUAUAGACAUCCACUUAGUUAUGAGUCAUCCACUUAGUUAUGAGACAUCCAUAAAUUUGGGCGAGACAUCUACUCCUCCUUGGCGAGGCGCUCCUGCUCCUAGCGCUCCUCCUCGGCCUUUUGAUCGGCAGGGUUGGGAGGAGCAGCAAUUUUACUCAUGACGGCGUUGCACGCCUCCUUGGCGAGGCGCUCUUGCUCCUAGCGCUCCUCCUCGGCCUUUUGAUCGGCAGGGUUGGGAGGAGCGGAGGCCUUCUUGGCGGGGUCGAUGAGAUCGGAACCGCCGCCGAGGCCGGGAGCGGAGGGGGCUCCAGUCAUUUACAGGCGACGAGAUAUUGCAUGUGGAGUGUGCAGUACGUACCGGCUCUGUUCCUCUAACUAAUCCUGUGGCAUCCUUUUGCUCUGUUAUUAAACUCGUUCAGUAUUGUCAAUUUUCGUCAGUAAUAAACUGCAAGAGGUACUGCAGUCGAUGUGAGUGGUUUGUUCAAUUGAUUAACCACCGAAUGCUUCUGUAAAAAGUGGCCAACACUUCUGAAAGAUAAGAUUAUAGAGUAGUAACAUUUUGUGAUAAAACUAAGACAAGAAAGUACACUAUGCAAGAAAGUACACUAUGCACAAGUUCCUGAAUUCUUACAGAGCCAACUUCUUUGUUUGUUUGUUCUAUUUGUUGUGGUAAAAAAAUUGUGCUUGUUCACUUUCUUGCAGGGGCGGGCCCACGUGUAUUCAUGGGUAUUCAACUGAAUACCCAUUAUUUUUGACAAAAAAAUUUGUAUGUAUAGUGUAUACCAAGCAUAUAUACCAAAACAAACGAAAAAAAAUAGCAUGUGUUCUCAUCAAUUCUAGCCCGUUAAGGCAAAAAGCCCAUCUCCCUCCUCUUCCCGAAGGCCCAAACGGCCCAAACGGUCCAAACCUAAACUCCACCCACCACCAGCCCAUCUGACCAUCUCUGAUUCAGUCGAAUCGUUCCCCAUCGACGCUCAUUCGCUCCCGUCGCGGCUCGCCCUCGCCCUCUCGUCACGUCGUCACCGCGUCGGGCGUCGGCGGGUGCUAACCCUAGGCGGCGGCCGCCGGCCAGCAGCGAACAGCCCAGGCGCGGAGGCGCCCACCAGCGGAGCAGAGAGGGCAGUUCGCGGGAGAAAAGCAGCGGGAAAGGCUGUCCCGCGUUCCCUGAUUCCUAGAAUCCAGCUCAGGCUUCAGGUCAGUAAUCGACCAUUAUGAUUUAGAUGAUUAGUUGAAGUUAGUUUAGGUACCAUAUUUGAAGGGGAAAUGAUGGCGCAAAGGGUAUCUUCUGCAUGUUUCCAUGAUGCUAUGGUGUAUUAUUUUUUUAGACACAAAAAUCAUGAGGAGCACUGAAUCCAAACAUAGGUACAACACUCACUAAGAAGUCUACUGGAGACUGGAGUAACUAAAUUGUUAGCUGACCCUACCCUGUUCCAAUUUCAUAGUGUUUACUUUUUUCUACAUAUAGUUUGGAUAUCAUGUAACAUCUUGGGUCAAAGGCCAAAGGCAAGUUUGCAUGGCGAUAUGACCGAUCUCCUUACGGACUCGAGGACUGCAUCAUAGAACUUGAGGUCGCCAUCGUCGAGCGCGUAGGAGACGCAGAGCCGUGCGUCGGCUCGGAGAUCACGGCACUGGGUGUAUUCCAUGGCCUUGGAUCACACACGAAACCUGGCGCAGAGCACUCUCCUGGUCUCUUGGCCCUCCGCCAGAGCCACUAGAGCAAUAGCAAUGGCACCCUCCACGAGCUCCCUCAGUCCCGCAACCCUAGCGUAAAUCCUGCAGGGGCACGCCAUGGAUCCCGCUGCCUCCACCCGCGCUAGUAGAGCUCGUGACGUACAUCUGCAUGCCUGCGCCUCCUUCCCCUCCCCUCAGCCGCCUCAUUCUCUACAUUUUUUACAGCAGCAUCUCUCUCGGGUAUCAUCUAUGUUUGGAUUUUGUUCAAAGGUAUGAUGGUUACUCUACUUCGUAGAUCCCCAUUCUUUAAUAGUUGCUUUCCAGUUUCUUCUGUAUCAACCAACUCUUUUGUGAGCUCCUCUGCUCUGUUUGGAUUUUGUUCAAAGGUAUGAUGGUUACUCUACUUCGUAGAUCCCCAUUCUUUAAUAGUUGCUUUCCAGUUUCUUCUGUAUCAACCAACUCUUUUGUGAGCUCCUCUGCUCUUCUUUUCAUAUCAGCCGCCUCAUUCUCUACAUUUUUUACAGCAGCAUCUCUCUCGAGUAUAGACCUUAAAAAUAAAAAAACUAUUAACUUUUUUAGGAGUCAAUGGGCCGAUGGACGCGCUGUAAAGUGGAAACAACCACCGCCUUUUCUCUCGUCCCUCAAAGUCGGCUGGCUUGCAAAUGUCCAAUAGAUGCGUCUUGUUUGGAUUUUGUUCAAAGGUAUGAUGGUUACUUUACUUUGUAGAUCCCCAUUCUUUAAUAGUUGCUUUCCAGUUUCUUCUGUAUCAACCAACUCUUUUGUGAGCUCCUCUGCUCUUCUUUUCAUAUCAGCCGCCUCAUUCUCCAAAGUUAGCCGAGUGUCUCGCGUCCACGUCCCCGUCGCCGCCGAAGUCGAAGUCGAAUCACCGUGCGUUGUGUGCGUGUCGGUGUGGUUUCUCGCACACGUUAGGGUUGGGUUUAUAACAAACGAAUGGUUCUCACGGACGGCGGCACUUGGCAUGCGGCAGGGCAACGCCUCGGCUUCGUUGAAUAGGUCAACUGAAUGGUACCAUCCUAUUCAGUUUUGUUCAGCCCCCGAGCCCUCGGAAGGUUCGCACUCGGGGGUAGAGUUUUUCCGCCCUCGGAAGGUUCACACUCGGGGGUAGAGUUUUUCCGCAAUCUUUUUCACCCUUCUAUCAAGUUUUACUGUUAACUAUAUUUACACCCUUCUAUCACUAUAUUUACAGUGACUUUUUCAAUGUAAUUUAUUGAAUAGAGUGGUGUAAUUUGAUAAUAACCCAAAUAUAUGUCAAAAUUUUUCAAACAAACAAGAGGACGAUGAAGCCGUCCAUGGUAACCCAUUGGGUGAAAUCUGGCUCGGCGUGAUGCCGAAGUGGGCAAGCACCUCGAGGAAGAACACGUGUAGCAGGACGCGCAUGCCGGCCUCCAUCACCACACAGAGACCAACAUUGGUGGACCAGAGGGAUUGCACAGCAAUCAGAUAUUAGACUCUGGAACCAGGUUGGCAGUUACAAUAGUAGCAUACAUCUCAGGCAUAUAUUCAUAGAAGGAUCCUUGGUUCAGCUAACACAUAAUAGUUCAUUAGUCCAUACCAGUACUCUACACAGUUCAUUAGUACCCUACACAGUUCAUUAGUACCCUACACCAACAAAAGGCACCAGACGACUCAGGCACAGGAGCAGCUUCGAUGACAGAUGGCAUGGAAACAGAGUACCAGGUGGAGUGAGGUUGACACAUGGGCAACCUCUAUAUUAUGGCUUCAGCACCUCCCUAAGUUCAUUAGCAGAAGUCCAUCAUCCUAAGUGCAUUAGCCUAAGGGGCCAGAAUAAGUCGGCUGAAUGCUUCAUCCGCCCCAUUCAUAUGUCCCACUACAAACCACCCAAUCAAUGCGAAAAGAACACACAGUGCCACACUCCCAGGUUUCACUGUAAUUUUCAGCUUUUGAGGCUCAUUCUUCAUCAGUCGCAGCUCAUUCUUCAUCAGUCCCAAUGAAUCAGCCGUCGAUUCCACAUGUUGAUCCACGGUUGCCAGCAGCUCAGUCUUCAUCAGUUCUAAUGCAGUAGCCGUCGAUUGCUUGUGUUGAUCCAUGGCUGCCAGCAGCUCAGUCUUCAUCAGUUCUAAUGCAGCACCCACCUCUACCAUCUUGAGCUCCAGGUUUUCCUUCGUCUCUCUGAUGGAUUUGGUAAGAGAAUCGAUGGCUUGCUCAUAAUCAUUAAGUGCUAUCAUUAACAACUGAGUGACAUGGGGAGGAUCAGAGAUAAUCCCAUCCUUGAUUAACAAAAUAGCAUAGCUCCCUUCCCAGUGGAAAAAAUCACAUGACCUCCCAUCCUGUAUAGAAGAAAAAUGGAAUAUGGUCACGUGAUGGUUGAAGUGGAUCAUAUCAUUUGGUGAUUGGUUGGUACAUGUGUUGCAUCAACAUUGGAGGAGAUGGAAUGGAAUGCGCAAGGCAAAGGUAUAACCUAGGGCAUUUCCAUUUCACCGGUCAUAGGUGUGUAGAGAAGUUUAUGACCGGAUUUAGGAUAGAUGGCCGUACUAUCAAGAGGGGCAAACUUGUUUGCAUAUCGGUCAUCUAGUGCCACUUGAGCGAUCUAACUUUGCAUAGGUGUUAGGAUCGAGUGGGGUGGCAAGUUGAGAGGCUAACUCCUUUGGGAAAUUGUUUGUGAAAAGCUAACACACUUGCACAUUCGGCGCUUUUAAGAAAAUUAAGUGCAUAUUUUCUAUUGCGUCGGUGGGAAAUUUGAAGAAGUCGCAGGAGUGUUUCUCGUGGACGCUGGUGUUGGCAGCACCGGACGCUGGUCCAGAGCGUCCGGUGUGGUGUCUUUGACUCAGUGUGCAGAGCGCACCGGACGCUGGCACCGGACGCUGGGCGGUUACUGUUCGAGCGUCCGGUGAUGCGUGACGACAGCGAGUGCACGCGAGGAGUUUCUGACCGGCGAGCACCAGACGCUCAGGGUGCGUCCGAUGGUUUACGUCCGGUGACCGUGCGAGUUUGCAGAGGUGGACUCGUUGAGCGUCCGGUGGUGCUGUGCAGGCGCGCGUGCGCAGUAGCCGUUGGCGGCAACGGUCGAGUUCAAACGGCUAGUGACACGUGGCUGACGCCUGAGCACCGGACGCUUGGGGUUGAGCGUCCGGUGGCUCCUUAUGAGCGUCCCGUGCCCUCGUGUUUUGCCCAGUGAAGGGGCAACGGCUAGUUUAGCCCUUGGGGCUAUAAGUAGAAGUGGUGGCCGGCCUUGACCGGUGCUGAGCACCCUUGGGACUUAGUGUCCAUGCUUGGGGAGUGCUAGGAAAGCCUCUAACUCACUUGUGCUUGCAAGAGUCAAUAGCGAGUGAGUGAUUCUAGUGCGUUGCAUUGAGAGAUUGCAUCUAGUGGCACUAGGUGUUCGUGUUGCAAGCCAGUGGUGCUUGUUACUUUUGGAGGUUGCCACCUCCUAGACGACUUGGUGGCUUGUGACUCCGUCGAAGCACGCAAGGAGAUUGUGCGGUGCUCCGGAGAAUAGAUUGUGAGGGGUAUGGUGCUCACCCCGCGGGGAUCGCGAAGAGCAACUCUAUUGGAUCGUGCGUGUCAUUGAGCUACCUCAUUUGUGGGUAGGUUCUUGCGGUGUCCUAGUGGGGACGAGGUUCGUGUAACACCUCUUAGCCGCCGAACCACCAAGUGUUGGUCGACACAACGGGGACGUAGCUUGGUGGCAACCAAGUGAACAUCGGGAGAAAAUCAUCGUGUCAACUUUGUUCUUCCCGUUGGUUUGCAAGUCCCUAACACAAGCUUGUUUUUUACAUUCAUAUAUUUGUGCUUGUGUAGUUGCUCUUGUAAUUAGUUAGCUUGUGUAGCUUGCUAGUUACCUUCUUGCUUGUGUAGCUAGAAGUAGUUCCCUUGCGUGACUAAUUUGGUUUGUGUAACCUUGUUAGUCACAUUGCUUAGUUUGUGUAGCUAAGCAAUUUGCGCUCUCUAAUUUGGCAUUAGUUGCCUUAUUAUUGAGCAUUGCUAGUGAGCUUAGGAGCUUUGUGCUUUUUGCUUACUAGUUGUGUAGGAGCUUCCCAGUUUGCAAAGUACUAGUUGCAUAGGUUUGUGUGACCUUGCUUCUAGAUUUGGUUAGGUGAACUCUUGCUAAGGUAGCACCUUACUUGCUUGUUUAGGAUCUUUUCAAGGUGUUAGAGAACUUAGAUAGAGGGGUAUAGUCUUGGCUAGACCGAUAGUUUUAAUUCCGCAUUUGUUUCGGUUAGCCGGCGCGAUAAAUUUAGAAAGGACUAUUCACCCCUCUCUAGUCCGCCAUCUCGACCCUUCACGGUGUCGUUGUCGCCGUCGACUAGUGGUGAAGCUAGAGCAAAUAAAAAGGUGGUGCAUUUCUUUUAUAAAAACAUAAACUCUGGCUAUAAUCAUGAUGAAAAAUUGAUUUACUUAAUGAUGUUUAAUUUUUUUUGGGUGUACGUGCACACACUGCCUUGUAUGUGGCUUCGCCACUGCCGUCGACUCCGGCGACGAUGGAUGUCCGUACGUGCGACGCUGGAGGAGACUAAGGUCACGACGUCGUCGGCGAGGUGGAGGCUCGGUGCUACAGCUGCUCGCCGAGGUGGUGCCGUGGCCGGUGCGCACGCCGCGGCUGCUGCCGCACGGUGAACGGCGAGGCGAGGGCGAAGAGCAGCAGGUGGAGGAGAGGUCGCGGCCGUGGACGUGGUGCUGCGUGCGCGCCCAACACGGCAGUCGUGUGGCUCCAUGGCGGCAGCGGCGUGGUCGCACCGUCGCGGCCAUGGCGGCCUUGGGGGCUGGGAAGGUAGGCAGAGGGGAUGCUGUGGCGGCUGGCGUGCGGAGUAGGUGAGGCGAGGCUGGUCGAGGGUCUUUAUAGCCAGGCGACUAGGGCUCGGCGCAGGGAGAGGCGUCCUUGCAGGUGGCCGUGAUCGUCUGAGUGCGUGCUCGCGGACACGCGGCCUCCAUCCGCGGCUCAUGUAGGUGAGCGAGCCGAGAAGGUUCGAGAAGCACUCGGCCGCGUUAGUCCGAGGCGUGGUCAAGAUGAGUCCGCACUGGCGUAGGCAGCAACGAUGGGAAAUGGAGCUGCGCCGUCGGAAGGGAAGAGGGAGCGCGUACGGUCGGAGGAAAAAGGAAACGACGCUGGCCGCUGGAUGGAAAAGAGACGGAGAUUCGGCGUCAUCCCGUGCGUGUGCUUUGCUCGUGAGAGGGUAGGGCUGGCUGCCCCUUGUGCUUAGCUGGGCUGGUUCAGUCCUCAGUCGGCUGCAUGGGCCAAGACCGAAAGGAGUGGCCUAGGAACAGCAGUGGAUACAUGUUGAGUGCAGUGCCGUGCAUGGUUGCUUGGCUAAAUACGUGGUUCACGUACAAACAAAGACACAGGAGCAUGCAGCUUGGUGCCACGUACUGCCACACCACGUGCAUGCACAGGAAUUAGGAGAUGGAAAUUAGGAAAGAGGGGGCCUGGUGAUUAGAGAUUAAAUAGGGAAUUAGGAGAAAACUACCUCCAAGCACAAAAAAAAGAACCAAACAUUCAUGCAUCUAACUAAACAUGGUGCAUAAAAAUAUUUGUAAAUCCAGUUCGAAGAAGAUGGGAGAGAGUUGGGGUUUGUGUUUUAGGAAAUAAUAAAUCAUAAGUAAUGCUGCAUGUUAAAUUCGAGUGCGGCUCGAAUUCAACCAAGGUUUUAAUUUUUCUCCGAAAACAUUUUAUUUGAAAACGUCGUUUGUCAUGUAGGUGAUCAAUCCAGGUGACAACGGUUUGUUGUAAAAAGUUUUUAAGAUCGGAUUUUGAAUUUGGGCAGGAAGGAGAAGCAUUUGACUUAAGUUCGACCUAACAAUUCACAUGCAACACACAUUCAAACAAAAUUUUUAACAAGUCGGGAUUUUUCUAUUACACAAAUUCUCGGAAUGUUACAUUGAAACUCUUCUGCAUUGUUUCCAAAAUAUAGAUGUGUUGAAAACAAACUCAUGAAACCCUACAGAGGAUGGUCUUAUCGGAGUCAUUGUAGAAUCAUGGGCAGUGACCAAGGAGAAAAUAAUUCGACCAAUGAAGAGAGUUGUAUGCAAAUAGUUAAAUUAAUUAGACCAGUGAGAGGAGCCGCAUGUGCUUAAAAAAGAUAAAAAUAAUUAUUCCUAGUUUAGAUAACUCUGAUUUUUAAAGAAUUUUUUCGGGUAAACUACGAUAAAUAGAUGGAGAGAGAGUACGUGCCAAGCACGCUUUCGGAUAAAGAAGUUCAAAAGGAGGAUGGUUGUAACAUCAGUCUUCCCAAUACUAGAAAUUAUAUAUAGUUGUUAUAUUUAUCAAUUUUGAUAGACACUUCAUAUAAAAAUCAUAGUUCAUGGAUAAUUUCUACAAAUCAAUAUUUUAUCAAAUCGCAUAUAUUCUACCUCCAUUCUCUCUGUCAAUCAUAUUCCUCUGCGUCUUGGUUCUCGUGUAAACAUGAUUUUGUCUUGGUUCUCGUGUAGACAUGAUUUUUAACUUAGACCUAGUUUGUAUGAUUCUUAUCUCUUUUCAAUAACUACUUUGUUACAUCAGCAAAAACACUAUAUGACAAUAUAAUUAAUGUUCAUAUAAACUAUGAUGGUUUCUGUAUUAAAAGUGUACUUAGUGCAUCAUCAUUCAUCAAUGAACAAUUGACAGCCAUGGACAUUAACUUCUCAGCAUACAAACUCUUAGUCUUAAAUGAAAUAGAGUGAAUUCCAUUGAGAAAUUUUAAGAUUUUCUUAACCUGGAGAAAGGCUUUGCGAGUAAGCAGUUCGGUAAAAAUACAUCCAGCGGCCCAAAUAUCCACCCCCAGGCCCCAGAUCCAUACUGCUUCGAGCCAAAUAAUAAUUCUGGUGCCCGGUAAGAACGUGCAAAGACCUACUUCAUCCGUCCUAUAAAUAAUUAUAUUUUUUACCUUUAUGAUUAAUAUUUGACUGUUCGUUUUAUUUCAAAAAAUUUUAAUAAAUAUUAUUUAUUUUUUCAUAACUUAUUUUAUAGUUAGAUAUAUUUUUAUAAUGAUGUAUUUAUUUUAUUAUUUGCAAAAAAACUUAAAUAAAAUGAAUGGUCAAAUAUAAAUCAUAUUAGUCAAAAAAUAUAUUUAUUUGUGGAACGGAGAGAGUACGCGUAAAAACAGUUAAAAGUCAGGUGCCUGCCAUCACCAGGGUAAAAUAAGAGGGCAUUUGGUUAAAGGUGCCGAAACUUUAACAGGUACUACAAUAUAUUUAUAACUAAAGUAUUUAGUGUUUAAUUAUAGACUAAUUAGAUUUAAAAAAGAUUGUCUUAUAAACUAUUUUCAGCUCUAUUUUUUGUUUGGCAAAUACUUCGUACAUACUCCCAGAUCCAUACUGUUUCUGGUGCCCGGUACGAAGGUGCAAAGACCUACGCGUAAAAACAGUUAAAAGUCACGUGCCUGCCACCACCAGAGUAUGUCCAAACAUGGAUAGAUGUUCAAAAAAAAAAAAACAGCACAAACUAACGAGGCCUAAAUCUAGUCUUCUAGUUACUAAAGGAAUGAAAUACAAGGGAAACUCUAAAUAACUGCUCAACACAGAGAAUUAGAGUUGGCCUUUGACUGCAUAGAAUGUUACUAAAUAGGAACUAUGAUGAGCAGAACUUCCAGUUCAGAUGACAAACAGCGAUGGUAAUUAUGUAAGAAAAAUGAUAUCCUUCACAAAUGAGUACUCCCAAAUAAAAUAAAUUUACUAACUGACACAGUUCCAAUUAUCACUGCUCUUGCAAGGAAGCUGCAUAGUCAACAAAUUUCGGCAUGCCAUGGUUUUUCGGGGCGCCGUCUAAGGCUUUCGGGAAAAAAAUUCAAGAUUCUCCGUCACAUCGAAUCUUGCGGCAUAUGUAUGGAGUAUUAAAUUUAGACGAAAACAAAAACUAAUUACACAGUUUACCUGUAAAUCGCGAGAUAAAUCUUUUGACCCUAAUUAGUCUAUGAUUGGACAAUAUUUACCACAAACAAACGAAAGUGCUACCGCAAAAUCUAAAAUUUUUGCCAGCUAAACAAGGCUUAAGUAGGAGUAAUCAUCCAUGCGACCAUGCCGGCACGCAGAUUUGAAAGUCCAGCAAUGCAGGAAUGCAGGGUAAGCAAAUGCAGCUUUUGGUAUUAGGAAUCAGGAUCCGGAAUUCAGCAUUGUUACACCGUGUAAAGCGAAACCAAUGAUGCAGAAUGGGAAACCACUUGAGCAGGUUAAUAUUUAUGGACAAGAAUGAAUGACAGUACUGAGACGUGUUUUAUGCCUAGCAAGCAGCGCUUGUUGCUCAUGCCAUCUGAAAGCAGCUCCACAAGGAAACCAAUUUUUUUGUCAGAAGUUAAACAGUACUACAAGAUAACUGGGGCACAAGUAGAGCAUUACGUGUGAUCUACUGAUGACAGAAUUAAGCCUAGAAAAAGCUUUCCCAAACAACAUGACCAUCAGGUUCCCGCCUCUUUAUCAGCUCCCACUGAAGGUAAGUUGGUGCCAACUGGGGCACAAGUAGAGCAUUACGUGUGAUCUACUGAUGACAGAAUUAAGCCUAGAAAAAGCUUUCCCAAACAACAUGACCAUCAGCUUCCCGCCUCUUUAUCAGCUCCCACUGAAGGUAAGUUGGUGCCAUUGGAAACCUCACAUAGUUGACGAGUUCAGAGCCCUCCGCCUUGUAAGGCGCAUUGCGUGGUGCAUCCUCGCCCUCCUCGGUGCUCUCCUUGGUAUAAGACCUGUACGGCUCCAUUCUGUGUACAGUUCGAUUUCUCCAAUAAUCGAUCAGCCUCAGUUGUUUGAUCAUCUCUUCCUGCUCAUUACUCAACACACUUUGGUUCCUAGGUGGAUUGAUCCCCAAAUCAUUUAAGCAACCUUUCUGGUAUUUAUUCAGGUUCCGCUGAUCUGGUUUGUUUUGUGGUACCUCAUAACUCUCAGGUCUUCUAUUGAUAGGGUAACUGAGCAAGGCAUUGUUCAUAACUUUUUUCUUCCAGCCAUCCACAUAUGGUAAUUUAUCCAGAAUUGCUCUGAACUCCUCAAAUGAUAACACAGAUCUGAUGGUCUCAUACAUCUUUUGGAAGAAAAAUGAGCACUGCGUCAAAGGAACCAACGAGGCAUGAACUGGAAACAUUGACCUGGACUCGAAUUCCCUCUCAAUUACAUUGAGCAGGUGCAAGAUAUCUUCAGGAAUGUUGUACUGUAUACCAGUUGGAGUAAUAAGCUUGAAGAGAUCUCGAAUAAUGUUAGCAGCACACUUGAAGUUUCUAUGGAGACGCCUCUUGAAUUCUGGACCUCUGCGAAGACAACUGAUAAUGGUGACAUUCUUGAAUUUCACUUUUCCUGUUUCAGUAAGUACAAUAUUAUCUUCAGUGAAAUCCUCAAAACAGAUUUGCAACGCUUCAUUGAUAACAAGGCCCUUGAGCAUAGUCCUGAUACAUUUCUUGCAGCGUUCGCUGGCAAUGGUAAAGCUUUUAGGGUCUUCAGUUUCCCCGGGCAAUGGAUUACAUCCAUCUUCAUCCAGCCCUACGAGAACAACUUUUGGAACGAGCAUGUGGUACUUCAGCUUGUACACCUUCAAGUCAAUGUAAUGUUCACAGUGUACUUGUCCAGACAUGACACACAGGUCAUAGGCUACAUACGGUAGGGUUCCUGCAGAAAAAAAACUACGUGAUUGACAGGAAUAGAAAUCAUCUAAAAAUAAGAUAGAAGUAUGGAAGUUAAUUUAAGAAGCCAGCGAACAGUAAAAACAUAUUUGCAAGCUAAAAGGUUAGUAGGUAGUGGUGUAAAGUGGCAUCAUUCAGAUUAUAAUGUUCCUAUAGACAGUUUAUAUCCAGCUAAGAAUAUAUCCCAAACACUAUGCAAUCUCAGAAUUUCAUGUAAAGCUGCUCACUUGAGAAACUUCCGGAUGGCACCCCCAGCAAGACGAACAAAUGAUGUUCAGCAUAUUUUACCAGCCUAGCAUGCUUCUGUAGUGUAGCCCUCAACACAGAUGUCUCCUACAGAUACAGAAUAAAGUGCAAGUUAAAUAAGGUAUGUGUGCUUCCAUCAAUUUUUUUUUGCAACUAGACUGUUACUUGUAACAACACUAGCAUUCAAAAUGGGAACCAGCACUUUCAGGAGAAUGAGUCAGUGAAGCAUUGGGGAGGGGGAACUUACAGGCAACACGUUGAGCACAAAAAGAGCGUGUCCCAAAACCAGAGCAUCUACAUCUUUAGGACUACAUAGAUACAAAAGGAUAUAUUAGUGAUCCAUUAGGCCUAUCAUAAAUAAAUAAAUAAAUAAAAACUAAUACAAACAACACAGGUAUAUGCAGGACGAUUGUAAGUGUACCUGUUCCCAAAGAGGUACACUUCAUCCUUAGUUAAUGUUUCAGACAACAUAUCAUAAACAGCCUCUGCCCUCCAAUAAAUCUGUUUAAAUAGAAACCUGCAUUAGGUUAGGUUGGCAGUAGCACCUAAAAAGAAAAAAGAAUAAUAAUAAGCAAACCACCUCUUGUCCCAAAUCAGCAGUUGACCUAUUCAACCUCGAACAUAGAUCACGUUUUUCAUCUCUUAGCCCCUUCCAGUGAAGAAUCUUCCGAAUUGGCCAAGCGAUAUCAGAGAAGUAGAUAUCAUUUGCAAUGCUUCCAUCACUAACUACCCACAGUUCAUACUGCAGGGCAUCAGCAAGCCAGGUCGAAACCAUGACCUUUGUGCGCUCAACAGAGGCUGAUUGUGUAAUCAGUUGGCUGCAUGGAGUUUAAGUCAAGAAUGCUGGUAUCCCUAAGAUAUUGAAUCACCCCUCCGCCCUCAUUGUUCAAAGCCACACAAUCUCCAAAUUCAACAUACGGUAUUUGCUCUGCGCAAAAAACAAAACGCAGUGAACUUAUCAGCAGGGGGCGAAAAAAUCCCAACCAGAACAGUGACCUAGCACACAAAUGCAGAUCCAGCAGCGACAAGUGAUUCUGGCAACAACUAUCUAGCAACAAGGGUAGACAGAUGCAACUAUGGAAGAGCACCAAGCAAUUCUGGCAACGACCACCUAGCAACAAGGGUAGACAGAUGUAACUAUCCAGCAGCAACUAGUGUCGAUCCAGUAGAGCAUCAAAUGAUCUACCUAGCAACAAGGGUAGCAACAAGAUGCAAAUAUCCAUGUGGAUCUAGCAACGUCAUGAUAUAACAUUAAGGCACAGUAAACAGUGGAUGAGAGGAGGUGGGGACUGGGGAGAUCACCUGCGUUUGGGUUGCAGGUGUCCACUUCGAGGUCGAAGGGAACAUCAGCCAUUCUGAGGUAGAGAAGUACGGUUAGGCACAUCGGGCAAGCGGUGGGGAGUCGGAAGCCUGGCUUCCGCACAACCAAAGUCUUCCGCGGCGCCGCCUCCCACUCGCGCGCCACAGGACCAGCACCCGCGGCCCUGGCCGCCACGGCCAACUUCGCGGCCAUGGGCCCGGCAGCAUUAGACGUCCCCCACUCCUUGACCGUGGCAGCGACCAUGGACGCGGCCCCAGCCGCCAGUACUUUGAGCCCCAAAUCCGCGGCCGCGGACCAGGUGACCGCCUCCACGACCGCGGACCCGGUCACCGCCUCCAGGGCCACGGACCCGGUCACCGCCUCCCACUCCGCGGCCGUGAACCCAGCCGCCGCGGCCGCCACGGCCAUGGCACCCGCCGCCGCCACCGAUGGCAUUGGCUGGCUUCUGAGUAGGGUUUAGGUUCGGGACUUCGUCUCGGUUUGCCCUGAAUCCGAUUUCAAGAUGGAGGGUUAAAAAAUCAGGGCCCAGAUAACCACAAAGCCCAGUGUGUGUGUGGUGAUAAUCCAUCACUAGCGCGAUAGGACGCUUCGCAAUUCUCACGGUGCUUUCAUCCGUACAACCAGCUAAUCAUCUGUUAAAGACGAGCCCAAAGCUGAUAGGCUGAUUUGUUUUAGGCCCUGUUCGUUUUGCCUCCAAAACGAAGGUUAUUGGGAAGCAUUGAGGCCCUGUUAGUUUGAUCCAGGGCCAAGGGGAUUGAGAGAAAUCGAGGGGAAAUUUACGAGUCAAAAUCUUCGUCAACACUCUCCAAUCCCUUUGAUUUUGAUUUUAAAAGGGAGAUCCAAAACCAAAUGAGUUGGAGGGGAUUGAAAGGGCCUAUAUUGUAAGUCAAAAUCCUCGUCUAACCCAUUCAAUCCCUCCAAUCUCAAGAUCAAGCGAAGUCCCCUCCAAUCCUCAUGAUUUAAGGAUGGAAAUAAACAAACAAAUAAAGAAACUAAAAAAACAUUGUUGUUCAAAAAAAAAAGUAAGCACAAGUAGGCAGAUGGAUAUUAUCAUACCAACGAUAAAUCUCCCUGAGGCCUUCUUGUUGGGUUUUGAUCCACCAUAGAGGACCCUGAUGGAUGGAUCGGAAGCCGGAAGGCCGCCCUGCUGCUGGCUGUACAGCCCGACCGACGGGCCGUGCAACCCAUCUUCCUGGCAAAGGUCAACCGGAGAGGCCAGACAACCGGCCGGGCCGAUCCCCGAUGAUGACCAUGGCACUUGAGAAGACUCGGCAAGAGCCUCUUCUUCCUCCUCAUCGUCUUCUUGUUUUGAUGGGUAUAUGGAUGCAAAGAAGAGGACGACUGCUGGAGAUGAAAGAGGUGGGGGGGGGGGGGGGGGGGUGGGGAGGGGAUUGUUUGGGGGCAAGGGUGGAACAGCUUAGGGAGGGGAUAUAAGUAGAGGAUGAGGAGCGUCCGGGACCGGCCUUUCCCAUAAAACCAGGGCCGUCGGUAGAGUAUAAUUAAUAAUAACAACAACUGAUAGAUCACGCGACACGACACGCGUGCAUAUCGAUUCGUUUCCGCCAGCGCGGCGCACGGUCCACAUCAAGGCCCCCCACCUUUGAAAAAGAGGGCCCGAUGGAGACGGCGACGGCUGCGGUAACCCAAGCGGCCACGUCUCGUCUGGUCUCCUCUCCUCUCCUCUCCUCUCGUCCGGCCCGUCCCACUCCGACGCGGACCCAUCCAAAUUUAAAGAUGGUCCAGGCCUGCUCGGCUAGCGUUCAGCCCAUCCAAAUCCAAAUUAAAGAUGGUCCACGCAGGCACGCACGCACCCCACCACGGACGGAUCCGACGAGUUGCAUUUUAUGGCGUUUUCCCUUUGGAUUUGGACGCACCACCGCACCAAUGCACGGCUUUCCUUCCCUCCACAGUCCACACCAACAACGACCACCGCAUUUUCCCGCCCCAGGACCCGUAGUCGUCGCACGUGUCAAAAGGUAUGGCCGGGCGCCGGCCAUUCCCUCGGUUCCUCCGCCCCUGCUCCCGCUACGCCAACGACUUCGGCCUUGUUUAGAUAAAAAAUUUUACAAGAGCACGAAUAUUAAAUAUAGAUAAAAAAACUAACUAUAUAGUUUAUCUGUAAAUCAUGAGACAAAUUUUUUAAGCCUAGUUACUCUAUGAUUGGACAAUGUUCUAAAAAGUUUUUAAAUCUAAACAAGGCCUUAGUUUACCAAGAAAAUCAAAAAAGUUUUCAACACAUUGAAUCUUGUGAUACAUAUAUGAAGCAUUAAAUAUAGACAAAAAUAAAAAACUAAUUAUACAGUUUAACUGUAAAUCGCGAGACAAAUCUUUUAACUCUAAUUAGUCUAUAAUUGAACAAUAUUUAUCACAAACAAGCAAAAGUGCUACAAUAACAUCCAAAAAAUUUUCACAUUUACAAAACACGGACAUGUGCUGGUCAACAGGAGUUUACUGUUCAGUUUACAAAACAAUUGAAUUUUAAAAAUAGUGUAGAAGAGUUUUAUUUCUAUAAAACUAUCUCUAUUUUUAUAAAACCAUCAUCUCUACUUCUUCAUCAAUAUAAUGUCAUAUUAACAUAUUUAAUGUGCAUAAAAUUUUCAUGAAACCUCCAUCUUAUUUACCAAAUUUAUUAGUCAUUAAAUAAUAUUUUCUCUCAACUGAAAUUGUUAAGUCAGACAUUAGACCAAUCUUAGUGGCCCGUUUAAUGCACUGUUUCCAAAAUAAAUCCGCUGACAGGGCAACAAUGAAACGAAUAAUAAAACAACCUCCACAAAGCAUGAGUUUCACCUUGACAUUUCCUAGGCUGGGCAAAGCAUUUAAUUACUGCAAAAUGAUUGGAUCACAUGUAAGAUGGUGAAACGAUUUAGCCCUCAAUGGGGACUUCAUCCCGUUUCACCGCGUGGGAAACAACGUCCGCGGAAUUUCACUAUGAUAAAACUACUUCCUUCUCUCUCCUUUUCGUUUCAUGCAAAAAGUGUAAUUUUACUUACAUGACGCUCUAAUAAAUGUGCAUGACAUACUAGUGAAACCCCCCGCUCAGACUGACUUUAUUAUCACAUAAACAUGAAAAGUAGCGAUCUUCAUCAGUUCUAUAAAUGCUAAUCAGAUGAGUACCUGGUGACAACACGACCGCCGUAGCCUCUUCGGUAGCUGAGUAUUUGCUAUAGGACAUGUUUAGAUCUAUUUUUUUUAGAUUUUGAACAUUGUAAUAUUUUUGUUUGUAUUUAUAAUUAUUGUCUAAAUAUAUAAUAAUUAGGUUUAAAAUAUUCGUCUCGUAAAUUACAGACAAAUUGUAUAAUUAACUAUUUUUUAUCUAUAUUUAAUAUUUUAUACACGGGUCUAAAGAUUCGAUGUAAUAAAAAAUCUUAUAAACUUUUAGAAUUUUAAAGAUAUCUAAAUAGGUCCAUAGUCUGCAAAAAAUGAUUCAUCUGAAAACCCUGUAAGGCUGCAAGAAUUUAUAUCCUUCACUGUUAGAUAGGAUACAGAAAAAUCCUGAAAAUAUUAAUAGCAAGUCAACAACAUACAGUACCAUCAAAAAAUAAUGGCACACAGCAUUUCUCAGUACGUAAAGAUAGAUCAAUAAUAGUUUGUUGGUUUGAGAUUAUCUACCAAAUCUGUCAGUCAUUCAGAAGUGUUCAGCAAAUAAUAUUUUUAGUCAUAACUAUUCAAGAGUGUAACAAAUAAUAUUUGCAAGCGACCAAGCUGAAAAAACUAGUAAGACCCAUGCGGCAAAUGCCGCGGGCGCUAGGCAGCUACUAUUCUAGCCAAUUAAACAAUAUUGAGAUAUGUGCAGCAGAAAAGAGAGUACAAAAUACUAGGAAAGAAAGUGCUAGUGCUGAACACGUAAGAGAGAGUGUGUAUUGCAACACGAAUCUUAAAACACUUUUGAAUGGUGGAAGAUAAGCACCACUAAACAGCCACAUGCUACGAUACAUUAUCGCAAAUAACUAGUGAUCUUGGAAGAAUGGUCAUAUUUAUUCUUUAUUAUUGUAUAAAAGGAGCAUCAGAAUAACAAACGUAGUCGAAAUAAUAAUUAAUGUUCAAAGUAUUACAAAAUAGAAAUCAUGAAAAGAUCAAAAUCGCCUAUGAACAGGUAAUCUAUAGUAGGUACAACCUAAGCCCUAUUCUUUCUAUUUGAAGUAGGCGAAGCAUCAGAAUUUACAGGACACUGUGAUAAUAUGGUCUUGUUUAUGCUUUGUUUACUUCCACCUAAAAAUUCAAAAUUUUUCAAUAUUCUCCGUCACAUCGAAUCUUUAGACGCAUGUAUGGAGUAUUAAAUGUAAAUAAAAAUAAAAACUAAUUGCACAGUUUGGUCGAAAUUGACGAGACAAAUCUUUUAAGCCUAGUUAGUCUAUCGUUAGACAAUAAUUACCACAAACAAACAAAAAUGCUACAGUGUCGCAAAAAUUUUUCCUUCACGAACUAAACAAGGCCUUAAUUCAUCCAAAAAACCAAAAAAUUUUAAGAUUUCCUGUCACAUCGAAUCUUACGGCACAUGCAUGGACCAUUAAAUAUAAUCAAAAACAAAAAACUAACUAUACAGUUUGCCUGUAAAUCGCGUAUAACACUCCAAAUUUUUGAAUUUCAAAUUCAGUUCAAAUUUGAUUUAAUUUUGGCUUAGUUUGAAUUUUUAGAGAAUUAUUAAAUAAUUUACAAAAUUAAUUAAAAUAAAAUAUAAGGUAGAAACGUGUUUGAUUUUUGCAUUCAUGCUGCUGCAUAAUUUUGAUUGAUUUGAUUUAUUUAUUUUGCUGAUGCUUGUUUUGUUUUGUUUUGGAGCAAGAAAAUUUAAAAAAAAAAGAGAAAGGGGAGAGCCCCCGCCUGGGCCGACUUCCGGCCCAGCACCCCGCGCCCCUCCCCUCUCCCCUCAUGCCCAAGUGGGCCGCGGCCCAAGCCGCACGGCAGCGGCCGGCCCCGCACUCACCCCCCGCUGCUCCCGCCCGCAGUCGCUGACGCGUGGGCCCCGCGAGUGGGACCCACCGCCUUCUUCCACCUCCGGCCGGGACGGACUCGGGGCGCAACCGACGCCCCGGUUUCCGCGCGCGGCGCCCCCAAUCCGAGCCGCACGCGCCCCAAGGAUCGUCGUGCCUUUAAAUAGCCCCCAGCCGCCGCUCGCGAACCCCCCCUAGAACCCUAGCUUCGAAAUCCGCGCCGCCGCCGUUCUCGCCAAGCUCGCGCCGCCGCCGUUGAAACCGCCGCCGUCGAGCUUCUCUUUGACUUCGUCGUUUCGCGGAGGUGAGCUCGUCAUCGCGCUCGUCGUGACGCGCCGACCCCGCCCGUGCCCUCGGCACGCUCCCCCGUGCCCUGCAGCACCGCCGCCGAAGCUCCGGGCGGCGCCAAUGGCGCCACCGCCGCCGCCGGCCGCCCCUGCGCUCCGCACCGGCGCGCGGUCCACCGUGGACCGCGGCCCUGCGCCCCCGUGCGGCCGGUCCACUGGACCGGGUCCAGGAGGCCGCCCCCCGCCGCUCCGCAGGCGCGGUCCACCAUGGACCGCGGCCUUUCCCCCCCCCCCCCGCGCCCCGGUCCACAGCACAGUGCCGUGGACCGGCCACUCCCGAGCCGCCACGUGGCCGAGCCGGCCAGCACCCACGCGCGCCCCUGCACGUUUUGCAAAAAGGCCCCUGUUUUUAUUUAAAAUUAACCCGCUAUCCUAUGCAGUUUAAAAUAAUUAUGUUUAUGCCCUUAGUUUUCGCAGUUUAACCCCUGGCUCGGUUAGAAUUUAUUUAUUUAGUCCAAAAUGAGUUUUAAUUCAGUUUUUAAUUAGUUUUAAUUACGAAAAAUAGUUCAGUUUAUCUACAGAAAUGCCAUUCAACUUGUUUUAGCCAUAACUUUUGCAUCGUGACUCCGAUUUAGGUGAUUCUGGUCGCUAUGGUUUCGUUUCGUCGAGUAGAAUACAGUAAUGCAGUUGCUUUUUGUUUCCGCAUGCUUUGGUGUACUGUUUCUGAUUAAGUUUGUUUGCUUGCAUGUAUUGUUCCUAUGAUUGAUGAUUGUCGCGUAUAGCCAACGAGACGUUCGUGAAGGAAGAGGUUCAGGAUCCCGCUGAGUUCGAGCAACCCGACUUCGAUCAAGGCAAGUGCAGACACCGUUUGAUCAUUUUGAACCUACUCAUUAAUGCCAUUUACUUUAUAUGCAUGUGUCCAAUGAAUGCAAACCCUAAGGACAUGACUAGCUUUGCUUAUUAUUCCUUGCUCACCUGGGGUUAUGUAUUUGGGUAGACUAGGCUAUACUAGGUCUGCUUAGCUGCUCUACUCAUCUUAUACACAUGUCUAAACAAGAAUUACUCUCUCUCUACUUAACUUGAUGCUUAAACUGUGCUGAAUCUUUGGUCACUGCGGUGAUGGCGAUGUUGGAUGCUUGCGAGCAUCGUGAUGAUGGUGGUGACAGGGGGAGCGGGUACCGUUGGUGGUCCGGUUUGCCGGGCGUACCCGUCUCUGCUCUCCGUAAGGACUUAGUCAGGGAGCGGCCCCCCUGGGACUUACAGUGCAGCUCCAAGCUAUAUGGCUCUGGCUUGACUAAUUAGCAGGACCUCCACUAGUAGGGUGUUACUUUCCGGGUAGGCGUGAGGAAGUAACUUGGGUAAUGAAUAUUAAGUUGUCGGUUGAUCGGUACGCCAUGGCUAUGGGUAUCGACUGCCGAGCGCCCCGACAAAAACUUGCGAGUGGCAUCCUAUUAGUUGGACCCUGUGAAAGGUCUCGUAGUGAGACCCUGCCUGCUCACCUUGGAAGUGUUUUGGGGAGUCGCGACCCCGGGCAAAUGGGAAUCACGACUUGGAGUGAACGUGCACACCUCUGCAGAGUGUAAAACUGAUAUAUCAGCCGUGCUCACGGUCACGAGCGGCCCAGACCCUCACUUGAUGAGCAAAUUGGAUUCACUGGUUACUUGGAGAUGGACCUUGGCGAGGUUGCUACCUCGUGUUUUGGCGGAAUGGCUAUUCCGUGAUGGCAGGAUUGCUAUCCUGUGGUAAUAAUUGGGGUUAAUCCCUGGAUUACUAUAAUAGUUAGGAUAGUCAUUUAAAAGAUGCUAAUUACUACUUACACUAAUUAAGGGUUGGGUUUAUACUACUCAUAUUUAGUAAUAGGUUGUUCUAGUAAUUGUUAUAAUUAAAAGCGAUCAACUAAAAUGCUACCGCAGUCAAACCAAGUCAACUUUACCUUGUUUUAAGCCUUGCAUGUCAUUACUUUCCGUCUGUGCUUGCUGAGUUCGACAUGAGCUCACCCUUGCUAUAAUCAUUAAAGGUUGCUCGGACGAUCAGGAGUACAAUUGCGAUUUCCCUGAGGACUACCCUGAGUCUCCUGGUUGUUAGGCUCGUGUGGUUCUGCCGUCGACCUUCCUGUGGCAAGGUGGUCCUGCUACGUCGGCGUUUAGUUUUCCCUUUAUUUAUGGAACAGUUUAGUUUAUGUUUCCCCUCCGCACUUUGAUAAACAUUUGGCUUGUAAUAAUGGUACUUUUACUCUCAUUUAUGUAAUUCGUUUGAACACUGUGUUUUGUACCAUUGAUGAUGUCGGUCCAUGUGUGUGAAUUUGAGAUCCUGGCGCACAUGUGAUUUGGCACCCGAAUGCUCUUUUACAUCCGGGUGUGACAGAAGUGGUAUCAAAGCCGUGUUGACCGUAGGAUCACGCAGCCUAGUUAGAAACAGCCGUUUAGACUGUCCCUUUUGGGUGGAAUACACAAUUGGAUCUAUUAACUACCUUACUAACCUGUCUCAUUAGACUUUAUCUAUUAGCCUUGUCUACUUACUUUUACUAACAGUUCAGUUUAUUCACUUAUUUCUUGCAUUUAUUACCUUGUUAUCAUUUAUUGCUUUCUAUUUCUCAUAUUGCAUUUAUAUUCUUGUUUCAACUUUUACUACUUGUUAUUUGAACCUUUCUUUUAUACCUUGUCAUUUAUUAUCAUUCUACUCAUAUUACCUUCUUGUUCCUUGUUUUUCAUUUAUUACUUGAGUUAUGUUUUAUUUCUGCCUUGACAAUAAAUUUCAUUACCUUGUUUUCACUUUAUACCUUCAUUACUUGCUUUUAUAUCUUACCAUAAAUACCACCAAAGUUCAUAUUGUCCAUCCAUUGUAUAAUCUGGGUUCAUCUUCAUUACACAUACACUUUUACCUUCAUUUAUGUUAUUCCUUUUACCUAUCAUUGUCAUGAUCUAUUAACCGUUUCCUGCAUGUCUAUGAUCUUAUGCAUAAGUAGAUGACUCGCCACCUGACCUGCCGCAAGAGCGUUAUCCGUUUCCGCCCCGUUCAAGCUGUGGAGUUCUCGUUGACUGGUCGCGUGGAUAACAUCGUGUUCCAGCCUAACCAGCAUCUUGAUGACGGUGCUAACCUCCAAGACGCGGAACCCUAUGAAGGACAGCAACCACCUCAAGCUCUGGUGGUGCAUGGAAGGGCGCCUUGCUGGGCACCUGGAGGAGAUGAUCCCUUCGGUGAUGAUGACAUGGAUGAUGAUGAUGAGGAUGAUGAUGAUGAUGAGGAUGCACCCGGAGGACCCGGAGGACCCGGUGGACCUGGAGGUCAAGAUGGACUUUUUGCUGCUGAUGAUGGGUGGAUUGUGACAGUCUGCACCAGGGAUGGUGGAGAGUGUUUCUUCCACAGCGAGCUGAAGCGUCUCCUUGACCAGCAGCUGGGACAUGGCAUGUUCUCAGUGGAGUACCGCAGUGAGCACUGGAGUCACCCAGACUACCCGGCGUACUGGAAGGUCUGGGCACACGUCGGCAGGCCUAACCCGACGUUGAGGGCACUGAGGAUCAUGUCCAUACAUGAGGCUGUGGCUGAGAGGUCUACCCAGAUGGCAGGCAUUAAUGAUGCUGCUCGCCAGGCUUUCUACGCAUACCGUGAUCACUUCUUCGAGGAGAUCAGCCAGGAUGAGCGUCGCUACUACCCUCGCCGUCGCCGUGGAGAGUUGGCGAUGACUAUUGCUUCCACCACUGAUGAGCAAGACCCCCGCAUGCACAGGACUGUCAAGCUGGUGGCGGUCACUAACACCGAGCUCAACAGUUCACUAGUGGAGUUGAAGCAAGUCAGGAAGGAGUUGGACGACGCCAGGAAGAGGAUAGCACAACUGGAGGCUCAGAUCACUGGAGUGCCACCGCCUUCACCUAAGUGGCCUGCUUUCUCUCCGCCUCGUGAAGAUCCAGCCUAUGGGGAUGCCAGCGCUCGUACUACUAUAGAAUAGGAGCUAUUCCCAACUUAGUAAUAAAUAGUGCCACGCUUAGAACGUUAGCACGAUCUUAGCUAUGCGAGUUUAGUGCUUAGUCGUUUGCUUAGUGUGCUUUGCUUGGUCUGUGUGAGAACUUGAUUUAUUAUUGUGUUAAUGGUGUGAUUUGGUUCUUUGUAAUGAGUGCGAUGAGUGGUGGGUUAUGUCCACAACGCAUCAAGAAUAAGAUUAAGUAUUAAGUUUAUUUGAGAUAGUUUGGGUUAUCAUCGGUCUCCUUUAUUUGUGCCUUAUCAUAUUUCAUAUCGCUUUAUCUUAUCAGUCUUACACUAUCAUGAUCAGUUCAUUAUCUAUAUAUUACAUCUGUUGUGAGUACUGUGUUUAUCAACUGAGACAGGAAAGUAACUAUCAGCUGGGUCAUACUUUGGGGAAAGAUUAUUACAUUGCAGUUUACAUUACAGCUCAGGUUUACACAUAUGAACUACAUCUGAUUUUAUUAUUUCUAUAUAUCAGAUGCCUGUCCACACCAGGAGCAACACCAAUGGAGGAAACAAUGGACAGUCCAACAACAACAACAAUGAUCAGAGCGGGACUAAUGCCAACCCUCCUCCUCCGGGGAAUCAGCCCAUGACCAUAGAACAGUUGAUGACUAUGCAGACUCAACUGAUGCAAGGGAUGGCUCAUAUUAUGAACCACAUGCAGCAGAACCAAAACCAGAAUCAGAACCAACACCAAGGAGGUAACAACGCGUUUGCCCCACCUAGGGACAAGCGUGGAGAGUUCAUGAAGGGACGUCCACCGUUCUUCUCUCACUCAGCUGAUCCUAUGCAAGCUGAGGAUUGGCUUAAAGCUGUGGAGAAGCAGCUGGUUAUUGCUCAGUGCAAUGACAGGGAGAAAGUUCUGUAUGGCUCUGGGCAGCUUCAGGGAGCCGCACAGGACUGGUGGGAUUCAUAUUGCUUUGCACAUCAGGACCCGGAUACUAUCACUUGGGAUGAGUUCAAGGUCGCCUUCAAGACUCAUCAUGUGCCUGCUGGAUUGGUGAAGUUGAAGAAGAAGGAGUUUCUGUCUCUGAAGCAGGGCUCCAUGACAGUUUGUGAGUACCGUGACAAGUUCACUCAGUUGUCGCGGUAUUGCCCCAAUGAAGUGGAGAAUGAUGAAGACAAGUAAGAUCACUUUCUGGAAGGUUUGAAUGAUGGUCUGUCCUACAUGAUGUCGAAUGUCAAGUACGCCAGUUUCCAGGAGAUGGUGGACAGGGCAUUGGUGCUUGAGAGCAAGCGCCGUAAGAUGGAGGACAAGAAGAGGAAGUAUAACUCCUCUCAGCAGCAGGCUGGUGCCAGUUGUCCCCGCUACAACAACCAGCAGGGCCCUCAGUCUCGCCCUGCAUAUCAGUCAGGCAACCAAGGACAGCAACAGAAUGUCAGGUACAGCAACCAGAGUCAGCAGACGAGCCAGCGCUACAACAACAACCAAGUGCAGCGCCCCGCUAGUCAGGCGCCUCGCCAGAAUGCCCCAGCACCAUCAGGCUCUCGCCAGAACUCCAACACUGUCCCAAUGAAGCCCAAUGUCAAUCCCGCCCCCACUGGAAAUACCUGCUUCAAGUGUGGUCAGCUUGGACACUACGCGAAUGCGUGCCCCCAGAGGCAGAGGAAUAACAACAACAAUGGAAGGGUGAAUCAUGUGAAGUUGGAAACUGCGGAGGAGGCUCCAGAUGUGGUAGUUGGUAUGUUUCUUGUCAACUCUUGCCCAGCUACUGUUUUGUUUGAUACUGGAGCAUCACAUACUUUUAUAAGUGCACAGUUUGUUGAGAAACAUAGUAUAGCCACCUGUACCAUGCAAAACACCAUGAUAGUUAAAUCACCUGGGGGAAAGAUGCAUACUAAUACUUUGUGUCCAGAAAUGAGCAUUAAAAUAAGGGGGGUAGAUUUUCCUGUCAAUCCCAUUGUGUUGGGUUCAGAAGGUUUAGAUAUGAUAUUGGGAAUGAGAUGGUUGUCCAAGUUUAAGGGUACUAUUCAGUGUGCUGAGAAGACAGUGGCUCUAACCGCACCUAGUGGGAACAGAAUUGAGGUCAGAGUUUCUAUGUCACCUAGUAGUGAAGGAACAAUUUACCAUCUGAGCAGUGGGUCAGUAGAAGAUAUUCGAGUUGUGAAAGAGUUCCCUGAUGUGUUCCCAGAAGAUUUGCCAGGUAUGCCACCUGAACGUGAGAUUGAAUUUGUUAUUGAUUUAUUACCUGGUACUGCACCCAUAUCUAAGAGACCUUAUAGAAUGGCUGUUAAUGAGUUAGAAGAACUUAAGAAACAACUAAGGGAGUUACAGUCUAAGGGGUAUAUCCGUCCUAGUUCCUCACCUUGGGGAGCUCCAGUUAUCUUUGUAGAGAAGAAGGAUGGGACACAGAGGAUGUGUGUAGACUAUAGAUCUUUGAAUGAGGUCACCAUUAAGAAUAAAUACCCUUUGCCUAGAAUAGAGGACUUGUUUGACCAGUUGAAAGGAGCUUGUGUGUUUUCCAAAAUAGAUCUGAGGUCAGGUUAUCACCAGUUGAGGAUUAAACCUAGUGAUAUUCCAAAGACUGCUUUCACCACCAGAUAUGGACUUUAUGAGUAUACAGUUAUGUCUUUUGGAUUGACGAAUGCUCCAGCUUACUUUAUGUAUCUGAUGAAUAAAGUUUUUAUGGAGUAUUUGGAUAAGUUUGUGGUAGUCUUUAUUGAUGAUAUCUUGAUCUACUCCAAGACUGAGGAAGAACAUGAGGAACACCUGAGACUUGUGUUGCAGAAAUUGAGGGAACAUCAGCUCUAUGCCAAGCUGAGUAAGUGUGACUUCUGGUUGAAGGAAGUGUCUUUUCUUGGUCAUGUCAUUUCAAAUGGUGGAGUUGCUGUUAGUCCGAAGAAUGUGGCAGAUGUUCUUAAGUGGAGUCCACCUCAGACUGUUGGGGAGAUCAGAAGUUUUCUUGGAAUGGCCGGUUACUAUCGGAGAUUCAUUGAGGGAUUUUCCAGUAUUGCCAAGCCCAUGACUGCUUUGUUAGAGAAGGGUAAGCCAUUCAAGUGGAAUGAACAGUGUCAGGCUAGUUUUGAGGAAUUGAAGAAGAGGUUGACUACUGCACCAAUUUUGACUUUGCCAGAUGUGACUAAAAGCUUUUCCAUCUAUUGUGAUGCUUCCAAGCAAGGUUUGGGAUGUGUACUGAUGCAAGAGGGAAAGGUGAUUGCCUAUGCAUCUAGACAGUUGAAGAAACACGAGGUGAAUUAUCCAACUCAUGAUCUUGAGUUAGCAGCUGUGGUCCAUUCACUGAAGAUCUGGAGACACUAUAUUCUGGGUCAUAAGUGUGAUAUCUACACGGAUCACAAGAGUCUGAAAUACAUCUUCACUCAGAAUGACUUAAACCUGAGACAGAGAAGAUGGUUAGAGUUGAUCAAGGACUAUGAACUGGAGAUUCAUUACCACCCUGGCAAAGCUAAUGUAGUUGCUGACGCUCUGAGUAGAAAGAGUCAAGUGAAUAUGAUGGAAGCCACGGAGUUACCGAUGGAACUACUGGCAGAAUUUGAGUAUCUCAAUUUGGGGUUUGUUGCUAAUACCCAAGGUACUUCCAUGGACAUAGAACCAACUCUUGAGCAAGAGAUCAGAAAAGGUCAGAAAGAGGAUGAAGAGAUCAAAAAGAUACUUAAGCUGAUAGAGGAAGGUAGAGCACCUGGAUUCAAAGUUGAUCAAGAAGGGAUUGUUUGGCACAAGGACCGAUUGUGUGUCCCUGAUAUUCAGAGAAUUAAGGAUGUGAUACUGAAGGAGUGCCAUGAAUCUGCUUACUCUAUUCAUCCAGGAGGUACUAAGAUGUAUCAGGACUUGAAGCAAAACUAUUGGUGGCCUGGUAUGAAGAAAGAUAUUGGUGAAUAUGUGGCAUUGUGUGACACCUGUCAGAGAGUGAAAGCGGAACAUCAGAGGCCAGCAGGGUUGUUGCAACCGUUGAAGAUACCUGAGUGGAAGUGGGAUGAGAUCAGCAUGGACUUCAUAGUGGGAUUGCCGAAAACUCAACGAGGUUAUGACUCAAUAUGGGUUGUAGUAGAUCGAUUGACCAAGGUAGCUCAUUUCAUACCGGUCAGAACUAACUACCGUGGGGAUCAGUUAGCAGAAAAGUAUAUGGAACGGAUUGUGUGUCUGCAUGGAGUUCCUAAGAGGAUUGUGUCUGAUAGAGGUACACAGUUUACAUCAAAGUUUUGGGAGAAGCUACAUGAUGCUUUGGGAACCGAGCUCAGAUUCAGUACUGCUUAUCACCCUCAGUCCGAUGGUCAGACAGAGAGAGUCAACCAGAUAGUAGAGGAUAUGCUCAGGUCUUGUGCUUUACAGUAUGGGGAUAGUUGGGAUGCUAGUUUGCCCUACGCUGAGUUCUCCUAUAACAACAGUUAUCAGACUAGUCUUAAGAUGACUCCUUUUGAAGCCUUGUAUGGAAGGAAGUGUAGGACUCCAUUGUUCUGGUACCAGACUGGUGAAAGGCAAGUGUUCGGCCCUGAUUCAUUGAGAAUAGCCGAAGAAAGAGUUCAAUUCAUCCGACAGACUCUGAAGGCAGCUCAGUCUAGACAGAAGAGUUAUGCUGAUGUGAGACGAAGGGAACUUGUAUUUCAGGCAGGUGAUUAUGUAUACCUGAAAGUGUCUCCGAUGAGAGGUCUAAAGAGGUUCAAUGUUAAGGGAAAGCUAGCUCCAAGAUACGUUGGUCCUUUCAAGAUCUUGGAAAGAAAAGGAGAAGUGGCUUAUGAGCUUGAAUUGCCUGCCAGCUUAUCCAAUGUGCACAAUGUCUUCCAUGUCUCCCAAUUCAAGAAAUGUUUGAGAGUGCCUGAGGAACAGUUGCCACUAGAGGAACUGGAUUUACAGGAGGAUCUAACUUAUGAAGAGAGUCCUAUCAAAGUUCUGGACACAGCGGAGAGAAUUACCAGGAGUAAAACUAUCAGGAUGUGUAAAGUACAAUGGAAACACCAUUCCGAGAAAGAAGCAACCUGGGAAAGAGAAGAUGAUCUAAUAUCCAAAUACCCUCAGUUAUUCCCUGGUUCAUCCUAAUCUCGAGGACGAGAUUCUUUUAAGGGGGGUAGGUUUAUAACACUCCAAAUUUUUGAAUUUCAAAUUCAGUUCAAAUUUGAUUUAAUUUUGGCUUAGUUUGAAUUUUUAGAGAAUUAUUAAAUAAUUUACAAAAUUAAUUAAAAUAAAAUAUAAGGUAGAAACGUGUUUGAUUUUUGCAUUCAUGCUGCUGCAUAAUUUUGAUUGAUUUGAUUUAUUUAUUUUGCUGAUGCUUGUUUUGUUUUGUUUUGGAGCAAGAAAAUUUAAAAAAAAAAAGAGAAAGGGGAGAGCCCCCGCCUGGGCCGACUUCCGGCCCAGCACCCCGCGCCCCUCCCCUCUCCCCUCAUGCCCAAGUGGGCCGCGGCCCAAGCCGCACGGCAGCGGCCGGCCCCGCACUCACCCCCCGCUGCUCCCGCCCGCAGUCGCUGACGCGUGGGCCCCGCGAGUGGGACCCACCGCCUUCUUCCACCUCCGGCCGGGACGGACUCGGGGCGCAACCGACGCCCCGGUUUCCGCGCGCGGCGCCCCCAAUCCGAGCCGCACGCGCCCCAAGGAUCGCCGUGCCUUUAAAUAGCCCCCAGCCGCCUGUGGCAGAACCACCCUAAUUAUAUGGCCCACAUGCACUUGACAUUGUCCUUAAGACCUCUGACUACUGCACAUGAGAGUCAUAUAACUUGGAUAGUCUGUCGGGUGCCCUCGGAGGACCCCGAAUCAUCCACAUUUUAACUCGUACAGGAUCAACAUGGAGUUACCACAACAUUACAACAUUUGUUACAAAAAUAACUUACAUCAGAGUGCGGAAGAUUUAUAACUUAAUUUACAACAUAUGAUGAAGUAUAAACUUAACUAAAUUUCCAAAAGGUGUAUAGAGUAGCGGAAGCAUCUUAGGUGAAGCUUCUAAGGUAGAAGAGGUGGAUAAAUCAUGUCGCGCCCACCGACACGACCACCAUUAGCAGACUAAGUCAGCACCUGCAACAGGGGUUAUAAAACCCUGAGUACAAAAGUACUCAACAAGACUUAACCGACUAGAAAAGAGGUGAAGACUCAGGUAUGCAGGCUAUAGGGAUUCAAGGUAAAGCUUUAUCAAGAUAAAGCAUUUCUUUUGCAUAAAAGCUUACUAAGAUUAAACCUACUUUCAAGUUUUAACUCAAGGUUAUCAUUUAUGACUAACCAAAACUAUUAUCAAACUUGCAUAAUCAUACCACAUCUUUCUUAUACCAAAGAUUCACUUGUUACUACGAUGAUGGUGUGAGGAUUGAGGCUCCAUAUCCGAGGAAACACGGCGAUUCGAAUCGAUUAAACCCAGCUGGGGAUUCAGUACCACACGACAUAUGUAGAACUUAAUCUUGCAUAUGUCAACCUGUUUCUAUAGAUCCUCCCAUACAAGAACGGGUCCAGCGUCACCCGAGAGUACAGUACACCACCAUCCUACAGCCAAUCUAGAUGUUUCCCGGUCAUCUCAGAUCCGUAAGGUGGGUACACGCUACUCUCGCCAUCUUUCCACUCCCAGUACGCGGUUAGCCGUUCUCAAGUAUCGGAAUAGCUAUAGGUAAGGCUUACCGCCGCAUGUGGGCUGUACUCAAAGGUCUCAAUCACAACAGGCCAAUCAACGGUACGGUCCUUAAUCGACUCAGUUGGAGACACUACUUUAAGACUCCAUUCUUAAAGCAAGUCCACCGACCGGUCUCAAGUUUAAACAUUAUUAACCAUAACAGUAUACCACAACGACCCUUCAAACUCUUUCAUUUGAAAACUUAUCUAAUAAGCAGGACUAAGCAUACUAAACAUUUUCAUAAAGCAAGUAUCAAGGUAAAUAUUGAAAUCAUCAAGGUAGAUAAUGCAGCAAAUAGGAUUCACUCAACUCCUAUUCACCUAAUGCAUCAUAUUAACUCAAGUGAUAUAGAUAACUUUAUGAAAAUACAAGGAUAGGGUUUAAUGUCCGGGGCUUGCCUUGGUCGGAGGGGACGUUCGGCAACUCAACAACACUCGAAGGAUCCACAAACUCGGAAGAAACCCACUGGGGAUCAGAUUCUUCCGGAGCGUACUCUAUACGUAAAAGUGCAUAUGCAUGAUUAUGAUAUACUCAUGGCAUGAUAAAGACAGGUUACAUGUUCUUGGAUGACAACCAUAAGCAUGACUAUCUCAAGUACAAUUUACCUUCAUGAUAGAGAAACAAACUAAUCUAGCUAUCAAAGCAUGGAUUAUUACUAAGCAAAUUUUAUCAUCUUCAUUAAGCAAUGUUGUGUAGUUAUUAAGCAACAAAGAUCAUUUACAUGAAAGAAUCCUUAACCAGGGAGAAUGUUAUGCUAAGUGACCACUGGUUGUCAAACAAUCUAAAAUAUCACCCAAAUCCUAAAGGGAUUAAUUAUUUCUAUUUCUUUUAUAAGCAUUUAAAUAGCUUUAUUAAGAAACAGAGCAUACUUAAUCAAAAAUAACUGAAAAUAUUUCUGAAGCUAGGUAAUAUUAACACAAGUUCACAUAUUAAAUUUCAUGCCAUUUGAAUAAGUAUAGCAGUUUCCAUGAAAAAGAUAAAUUUCCAUCACAAGAAAGCAUGUAACAACAAGAUAAAUAAGAAACUCGACAUUUUCUACAAACACAUAGCUAAAUUAUGUAUCUAUAUGAUAUAACAAUUUCAUAUAAAGGUAGAGGAACCAUAUUUUACAUUUAUUCCUUUUUAGUUUAAUUGUAAAUUAUUUAAUAAGCACUACACAAGAUAAAUCAAUAACUUAAUCAUAUGUCAUCUACUGAACAUGAAAUUUUUACUGCAACAUUCAAAUAACAUCAUGAGAACACCAUAAAAAUUUCAGGGCAAUAGGAUCUACACAGAAUAAGAUAUGAAUUUCUCCCUUUUAAACAUAAUUAAAAGGCAUAAAUCAUAACCAAUUAUUUUACUACAAAACAUGAUCAGUUUCAUAUUUUUAAUAAAAACUAGACAUCUCAAGGAGCACAACAAAAUUUGGUUCACCAAAAUUGGAGUUGCCAAACUCCAGAUAUGAAUUUUCAAAGAUCUAACAAAACAUCUACAAACAGGUCCUGAUGGCACUAUUCACCCGAGUCACGAACUUCGCAGUUAGACCCUUGCCUUGUGUCGAAUUCCAACGCGAAGUCCCUGGCGCGAAAUGGAAACAGAGGAGGCGCGCGGGAAAGCCGGAUUUCCGACCGGCGACCGUCUGUUGGCGACAAGGGAGAGGUACUGGAGCAUGGUUGGGCCUAUGUGCACCCUCUGGUGACCACGGCUUGCUGCGAGAAGGCCUGAGGUGGCAUGGCCACGGUGAGGUGCUCCUCGGCGGCGCUUUUGGCCGGAAUGGAGGAAGAACGGACGUAGCCGGGGCUAGAGAUGGUUAGAGCUUGCAUCAAGGGGGCGCGAAUGGUUGCUGAGACCUUGGUAAAGCUGCUGGGGUGCUCUGGUGGCUUAGAAAGGAAGUGGGAGAGGUGAAUUUUUGCGGGCGCAGGGAGCUCACCGGCGUUGAGCGAAAGGAAGAAGAGAGGGUUGCAGUGAGGUGCGAGCCAUGGGAAGAAGUGGAUGAGGACGCCAGGAGCUCGGCCACUUCACCGCGACCGUAAGCAGGCGAGCAGCUGCGUGGCUGGGUGCGUGGCGGCGUCCUGAGCAGCAGUGUCUGCCGCGGCGGCAGUGCAGCCCGUGAUCCUCAUCGGUUACUGUAGCAGGCUUUAUCCAACCAGUUUUGUGGUUUUGCAAAAUUCGUCCAAAUUUUGAACUGAAGACAAAAUUCCACCAAAACAAAAGUUAUUCAGAAUUUUACAAACUACAAAUCUUCUUUUGGUGACCAAAGCCAAUUCUGGGUGGAAAAUGACGAAUUUGACAAAACAGUUUGAAUUUCAAAUCCCAAAUUGGGGAAAUUCCAAAUUUUGAAUUGGAGCAGAUUAGAAUUUCCAAAAUUACUUUUGAUUUUCCAAAACAACUUGAAAAACUCCCAACAUGAAAGUUGUUCAACUUUUCAAGCCCUACAACUCUCAUGUUGACCAUUUUUCAAAAUUCCAAACAGAUUUUGAAUUGGAGAUUUAAGUUUGAAAAGGGGACACUUUCCGGAAAUCUGUAUUUUCAAAAUUACUUUGAAUUUUGUACUGAAACUUCAAAAACUCAAAACACCAAAGUUGUACAUCUUGACAAGAUCUACAACUUUGCUUUUGAACUCAACUUCAAAUUUUGCUUAGUUUUUAAAUUACACAAAAGGGGACAAAUCUAGGGUUUCCCCCCUAAGCCUUUCGGAAAAACUUUCACCCAAGGUUUUUAAAUUCCAAAACAAACAUCCAUACAUAAAAUAAACACACUUUACUUCCUAAACACAUUCAACCAAAAUAACCUUAUUUUAAGUUGAUGCAUAAUAAUGUGCUCAACAAUUAUGCUUUGCAAUGCUUAUGAUGACAUGAUCCAGUUUUAGUAUUCGUAACAUCAGGGAUGUUACAGCCCUUCCCCCUUAAAGAAAUCUCGUCCCGAGAUUUCCAGGGUACUAAAACCCGUGGGGUUAAGUAAUGGAAAAGGAAAUGUGUCAAGCACAUUAACUUCUGAGAAGUUCAUAAAACAAUUACAAUUGGUCCGAGAAUUACAACUAAGAUCAACAGAAUGUUGUAAUCAAUAAGGAAUGUUAGAGAAUUCAUAAGAAGAUAUGAAUCUCCAAAUGAGCUUCCAAGGAGAAUGAAAGCACACUAACUGUAGACUAUAGCGGAGCAUGACCAGAGAUCCCGAUGUUUAACGAGCACCUAGUAGUAUUUCCUUAUGGCUGCAGUCCACAGGAGACUACAAGGUUCGACGCUAUAACGUGAUCACGGAUCAUGGUACCUACUAUAGAGUACGGUUAUAAUAGCUUUCAAUGACCUAUGUUGGUUAUCUAAGUCAGGGGUUUUAGGUAAUUCCAAAGAGAUAUGGGCAUGGAUUCCCAUAAUAUUGUUCAAAGAGUGAGGUCACCUAAGUUGUGGGUCUAUAAGGGAUCAUGAUCAUAGACUUUGAUAACAGCGAGCGCCCGGCAGUAUUUCCUUAUGGUCGCGAGCCAUAGGAGACCCCAGGUUUCGGCGUUGUUACCUAAGUUAUGGGUCAUGGUACCUUAAGAGGACACAAUCAUAGUGACAUUCAAUCAACAGAAAUGUUGACAAAUGACAUCAAGGAGGUAGCAUGUGUCCGAAUUAGAUGAAAUCAAGGAAGGUCACAUGCAUAACAAAUGAAUCAAGGAUUAGGAUCUUAUGGAGUAAAAGAUUAUCAAUCAGUUAACGAAACCUGGUACAUGAUGAGAUUCAUCAAUAAAACAGCUAUACCGAAUAAUAACUGUUUUGAAGCAUAAGGAGGGGCUUUUAUGUAUCAUUAUAUUUGUCAUGUUAUGCUUGAUAUGCAAUAUGCUCGCCUAUACGUCUUUACAACGUUAGCUAGGAGAUAAUUGCUUAUAUAGGGCAUACUUUAUACACUAUCUUUAUUGCUUCAAAAGGGAGGCUGCAAGACUGUUGACAAAGCAUUGUUGGAGUAGUUUGAUUCUUCACUUGGCUUGUCGAAGACUUGAAGCCUCUUUUAAUGUCUUCUAUUUGAGUCAGCAGAAAGUCUUCGUAGAACCCGAACAGCAAGCAUAAGAAAAGUUAAGGAAUAUUUAUAAGUUGUUAUCCUCAAAAACUUUUAAUUUGUAAAUUUCUUUUGAACUUUUCACAAUUAAUGUUGUAGAAGAUCCAUGUAUGAGCUCUGAUACCAGCUGUGGCAGAACCACCCUAAUUAUAUGGCCCACAUGCACUUGACAUUGUCCUUAAGACCUCUGACUACUGCACAUGAGAGUCAUAUAACUUGGAUAGUCUGUCGGGUGCCCUCGGAGGACCCCGAAUCAUACACAUUUUAACUCGUACAGGAUCAACAUGGAGUUACCACAACAUUACAACAUUUGUUACAAAAAUAACUUACAUCAGAGUGCGGAAGAUUUAUAACUUAAUUUACAACAUAUGAUGAAGUAUAAACUUAACUAAAUUUCCAAAAGGUGUAUAGAGUAGCGGAAGCAUCUUAGGUGAAGCUUCUAAGGUAGAAGAGGUGGAUAAAUCAUGUCGCGCCCACCGACACGACCACCAUUAGCAGACUAAGUCAGCACCUGCAACAGGGGUUAUAAAACCCUGAGUACAAAAGUACUCAACAAGACUUAACCGACUAGAAAAGAGGUGAAGACUCAGGUAUGCAGGCUAUAGGGAUUCAAGGUAAAGCUUUAUCAAGAUAAAGCAUUUCUUUUGCAUAAAAGCUUACUAAGAUUAAACCUACUUUCAAGUUUUAACUCAAGGUUAUCAUUUAUGACUAACCAAAACUAUUAUCAAACUUGCAUAAUCAUACCACAUCUUUCUUAUACCAAAGAUUCACUUGUUACUACGAUGAUGGUGUGAGGAUUGAGGCUCCAUAUCCGAGGAAACACGGCGAUUCGAAUCGAUUAAACCCAGCUGGGGAUUCAGUACCACACGACAUAUGUAGAACUUAAUCUUGCAUAUGUCAACCUGUUUCUAUAGAUCCUCCCAUACAAGAACGGGUCCAGCGUCACCCGAGAGUACAGUACACCACCAUCCUACAGCCAAUCUAGAUGUUUCCCGGUCAUCUCAGAUCCGUAAGGUGGGUACACGCUACUCUCGCCAUCUUUCCACUCCCAGUACGCGGUUAGCCGUUCUCAAGUAUCGGAAUAGCUAUAGGUAAGGCUUACCGCCGCAUGUGGGCUGUACUCAAAGGUCUCAAUCACAACAGGCCAAUCAACGGUACGGUCCUUAAUCGACUCAGUUGGAGACACUACUUUAAGACUCCAUUCUUAAAGCAAGUCCACCGACCGGUCUCAAGUUUAAACAUUAUUAACCAUAACAGUAUACCACAACGACCCUUCAAACUCUUUCAUUUGAAAACUUAUCUAAUAAGCAGGACUAAGCAUACUAAACAUUUUCAUAAAGCAAGUAUCAAGGUAAAUAUUGAAAUCAUCAAGGUAGAUAAUGCAGCAAAUAGGAUUCACUCAACUCCUAUUCACCUAAUGCAUCAUAUUAACUCAAGUGAUAUAGAUAACUUUAUGAAAAUACAAGGAUAGGGUUUAAUGUCCGGGGCUUGCCUUGGUCGGAGGGGACGUUCGGCAACUCAACAACACUCGAAGGAUCCACAAACUCGGAAGAAACCCACUGGGGAUCAGAUUCUUCCGGAGCGUACUCUAUACGUAAAAGUGCAUAUGCAUGAUUAUGAUAUACUCAUGGCAUGAUAAAGACAGGUUACAUGUUCUUGGAUGACAACCAUAAGCAUGACUAUCUCAAGUACAAUUUACCUUCAUGAUAGAGAAACAAACUAAUCUAGCUAUCAAAGCAUGGAUUAUUACUAAGCAAAUUUUAUCAUCUUCAUUAAGCAAUGUUGUGUAGUUAUUAAGCAACAAAGAUCAUUUACAUGAAAGAAUCCUUAACCAGGGAGAAUGUUAUGCUAAGUGACCACUGGUUGUCAAACAAUCUAAAAUAUCACCCAAAUCCUAAAGGGAUUAAUUAUUUCUAUUUCUUUUAUAAGCAUUUAAAUAGCUUUAUUAAGAAACAGAGCAUACUUAAUCAAAAAUAACUGAAAAUAUUUCUGAAGCUAGGUAAUAUUAACACAAGUUCACAUAUUAAAUUUCAUGCCAUUUGAAUAAGUAUAGCAGUUUCCAUGAAAAAGAUAAAUUUCCAUCACAAGAAAGCAUGUAACAACAAGAUAAAUAAGAAACUCGACAUUUUCUACAAACACAUAGCUAAAUUAUGUAUCUAUAUGAUAUAACAAUUUCAUAUAAAGGUAGAGGAACCAUAUUUUACAUUUAUUCCUUUUUAGUUUAAUUGUAAAUUAUUUAAUAAGCACUACACAAGAUAAAUCAAUAACUUAAUCAUAUGUCAUCUACUGAACAUGAAAUUUUUACUGCAACAUUCAAAUAACAUCAUGAGAACACCAUAAAAAUUUCAGGGCAAUAGGAUCUACACAGAAUAAGAUAUGAAUUUCUCCCUUUUAAACAUAAUUAAAAGGCAUAAAUCAUAACCAAUUAUUUUACUACAAAACAUGAUCAGUUUCAUAUUUUUAAUAAAAACUAGACAUCUCAAGGAGCACAACAAAAUUUGGUUCACCAAAAUUGGAGUUGCCAAACUCCAGAUAUGAAUUUUCAAAGAUCUAACAAAACAUCUACAAACAGGUCCUAAUGGCACUAUUCACCCGAGUCACGAACUUCGCAGUUAGACCCUUGCCUUGUGUCGAAUUCCAACGCGAAGUCCCUGGCGCGAAAUGGAAACAGAGGAGGCGCGCGGGAAAGCCGGAUUUCCGACCGGCGACCGUCUGUUGGCGACAAGGGAGAGGUACUGGAGCAUGGUUGGGCCUAUGUGCACCCUCUGGUGACCACGGCUUGCUGCGAGAAGGCCUGAGGUGGCAUGGCCACGGUGAGGUGCUCCUCGGCGGCGCUUUUGGCCGGAAUGGAGGAAGAACGGACGUAGCCGGGGCUAGAGAUGGUUAGAGCUUGCAUCAAGGGGGCGCGAAUGGUUGCUGAGACCUUGGUAAAGCUGCUGGGGUGCUCUGGUGGCUUAGAAAGGAAGUGGGAGAGGUGAAUUUUUGCGGGCGCAGGGAGCUCACCGGCGUUGAGCGAAAGGAAGAAGAGAGGGUUGCAGUGAGGUGCGAGCCAUGGGAAGAAGUGGAUGAGGACGCCAGGAGCUCGGCCACUUCACCGCGACCGUAAGCAGGCGAGCAGCUGCGUGGCUGGGUGCGUGGCGGCGUCCUGAGCAGCAGUGUCUGCCGCGGCGGCAGUGCAGCCCGUGAUCCUCAUCGGUUACUGUAGCAGGCUUUAUCCAACCAGUUUUGUGGUUUUGCAAAAUUCGUCCAAAUUUUGAACUGAAGACAAAAUUCCACCAAAACAAAAGUUAUUCAGAAUUUUACAAACUACAAAUCUUCUUUUGGUGACCAAAGCCAAUUCUGGGUGGAAAAUGACGAAUUUGACAAAACAGUUUGAAUUUCAAAUCCCAAAUUGGGGAAAUUCCAAAUUUUGAAUUGGAGCAGAUUAGAAUUUCCAAAAUUACUUUUGAUUUUCCAAAACAACUUGAAAAACUCCCAACAUGAAAGUUGUUCAACUUUUCAAGCCCUACAACUCUCAUGUUGACCAUUUUUCAAAAUUCCAAACAGAUUUUGAAUUGGAGAUUUAAGUUUGAAAAGGGGACACUUUCCGGAAAUCUGUAUUUUCAAAAUUACUUUGAAUUUUGUACUGAAACUUCAAAAACUCAAAACACCAAAGUUGUACAUCUUGACAAGAUCUACAACUUUGCUUUUGAACUCAACUUCAAAUUUUGCUUAGUUUUUAAAUUACACAAAAGGGGACAAAUCUAGGGUUUUGAAAACUAGGGUUUCCCCCCUAAGCCUUUCGGAAAAACUUUCACCCAAGGUUUUUAAAUUCCAAAACAAACAUCCAUACAUAAAAUAAACACACUUUACUUCCUAAACACAUUCAACCAAAAUAACCUUAUUUUAAGUUGAUGCAUAAUAAUGUGCUCAACAAUUAUGCUUUGCAAUGCUUAUGAUGACAUGAUCCAGUUUUAGUAUUCGUAACAUCAGGGAUGUUACACCGCCGCUCGCGAACCCCCCCUAGAACCCUAGCUUCGAAAUCCGCGCCGCCGCCGUUCUCGCCAAGCUCGCGCCGCCGCCGUUGAUACCGCCGCCGUCGAGCUUCUCUUUGACUUCGUCGUUUCGCGGAGGUGAGCUCGUCAUCGCGCUCGUCGUGACGCGCCGACCCCGCCCGUGCCCUCGGCACGCUCCCCCGUGCCCUGCAGCACCGCCGCCGAAGCUCCGGGCGGCGCCAAUGGCGCCACCGCCGCCGCCGGCCGCCCCUGCGCUCCGCACCGGCGCGCGGUCCACCGUGGACCGCGGCCCUGCGCCCCCGUGCGGCCGGUCCACUGGACCGGGUCCAGGAGGCCGCCCCCCGCCGCUCCGCAGGCGCGGUCCACCAUGGACCGCGGCCUUUCCCCCCCCCCCGCGCCCCGGUCCACAGCACAGUGCCGUGGACCGGCCACUCCCGAGCCGCCACGUGGCCGAGCCGGCCAGCACCCACGCGCGCCCCUGCACGUUUUGCAAAAAGGCCCCUGUUUUUAUUUAAAAUUAACCCGCUAUCCUAUGCAGUUUAAAAUAAUUAUGUUUAUGCCCUUAGUUUUCGCAGUUUAACCCCUGGCUCGGUUAGAAUUUAUUUAUUUAGUCCAAAAUGAGUUUUAAUUCAGUUUUUAAUUAGUUUUAAUUACGAAAAAUAGUUCAGUUUAUCUACAGAAAUGCCAUUCAACUUGUUUUAGCCAUAACUUUUGCAUCGUGACUCCGAUUUAGGUGAUUCUGGUCGCUAUGGUUUCGUUUCGUCGAGUAGAAUACAGUAAUGCAGUUGCUUUUUGUUUCCGCAUGCUUUGGUGUACUGUUUCUGAUUAAGUUUGUUUGCUUGCAUGUAUUGUUCCUAUGAUUGAUGAUUGUCGCGUAUAGCCAACGAGACGUUCGUGAAGGAAGAGGUUCAGGAUCCCGCUGAGUUCGAGCAACCCGACUUCGAUCAAGGCAAGUGCAGACACCGUUUGAUCAUUUUGAACCUACUCAUUAAUGCCAUUUACUUUAUAUGCAUGUGUCCAAUGAAUGCAAACCCUAAGGACAUGACUAGCUUUGCUUAUUAUUCCUUGCUCACCUGGGGUUAUGUAUUUGGGUAGACUAGGCUAUACUAGGUCUGCUUAGCUGCUCUACUCAUCUUAUACACAUGUCUAAACAAGAAUUACUCUCUCUCUACUUAACUUGAUGCUUAAACUGUGCUGAAUCUUUGGUCACUGCGGUGAUGGCGAUGUUGGAUGCUUGCGAGCAUCGUGAUGAUGGUGGUGACAGGGGGAGCGGGUACCGUUGGUGGUCCGGUUUGCCGGGCGUACCCGUCUCUGCUCUCCGUAAGGACUUAGUCAGGGAGCGGCCCCCCUGGGACUUACAGUGCAGCUCCAAGCUAUAUGGCUCUGGCUUGACUAAUUAGCAGGACCUCCACUAGUAGGGUGUUACUUUCCGGGUAGGCGUGAGGAAGUAACUUGGGUAAUGAAUAUUAAGUUGUCGGUUGAUCGGUACGCCAUGGCUAUGGGUAUCGACUGCCGAGCGCCCCGACAAAAACUUGCGAGUGGCAUCCUAUUAGUUGGACCCUGUGAAAGGUCUCGUAGUGAGACCCUGCCUGCUCACCUUGGAAGUGUUUUGGGGAGUCGCGACCCCGGGCAAAUGGGAAUCACGACUUGGAGUGAACGUGCACACCUCUGCAGAGUGUAAAACUGAUAUAUCAGCCGUGCUCACGGUCACGAGCGGCCCAGACCCUCACUUGAUGAGCAAAUUGGAUUCACUGGUUACUUGGAGAUGGACCUUGGCGAGGUUGCUACCUCGUGUUUUGGCGGAAUGGCUAUUCCGUGAUGGCAGGAUUGCUAUCCUGUGGUAAUAAUUGGGGUUAAUCCCUGGAUUACUAUAAUAGUUAGGAUAGUCAUUUAAAAGAUGCUAAUUACUACUUACACUAAUUAAGGGUUGGGUUUAUACUACUCAUAUUUAGUAAUAGGUUGUUCUAGUAAUUGUUAUAAUUAAAAGCGAUCAACUAAAAUGCUACCGCAGUCAAACCAAGUCAACUUUACCUUGUUUUAAGCCUUGCAUGUCAUUACUUUCCGUCUGUGCUUGCUGAGUUCGACAUGAGCUCACCCUUGCUAUAAUCAUUAAAGGUUGCUCGGACGAUCAGGAGUACAAUUGCGAUUUCCCUGAGGACUACCCUGAGUCUCCUGGUUGUUAGGCUCGUGUGGUUCUGCCGUCGACCUUCCUGUGGCAAGGUGGUCCUGCUACGUCGGCGUUUAGUUUUCCCUUUAUUUAUGGAACAGUUUAGUUUAUGUUUCCCCUCCGCACUUUGAUAAACAUUUGGCUUGUAAUAAUGGUACUUUUACUCUCAUUUAUGUAAUUCGUUUGAACACUGUGUUUUGUACCAUUGAUGAUGUCGGUCCAUGUGUGUGAAUUUGAGAUCCUGGCGCACAUGUGAUUUGGCACCCGAAUGCUCUUUUACAUCCGGGUGUGACAUCGCGAGAUAAAUCUUUUAAGCCUAGUUAGUCCAUAAUUGAACAAUAUUUGCCAAAAAAACGAAAGUGCUACAGUAUCCGAAAACUUUUCAUUUUGCCAACUAAACAAGGCCUAUGCUACAUGGGCAUCACCACUCUUUGCUUGUACCGUCUUGUUCGUUUGAGCUUAUCAGCCGAAUCUGUCAGUCAUUCAACAAUGUUUUUCUCUCAUAAUAAGCCAACAAUACUUUUUGUCAUAUCUUAUUAGCCAAACAAACAAGGCUUGCAAAAUUUCUCUGUUACAGACAAAAGGUUCUGUGAACUAUAAAUCAACAAUGUAGCAUUUAUAUACCUUAUUAGAUGGCCCCUUUCAAUGAGAACACAAGUUUUAUAGACUUAGAGCAACUCCAACGGCUUGGCAAAAUUUAGUAGUCAGAUUCUAUUUGUUUAGCAACUUUGUCAAAUAGAAAACUUUUGAAAAAGAAGAGGUCUAUAACAGCUUUGCUAUUUUACAAAAUUAGAUAGCUAAUGUCACUGGUUGGCUAUAUAUAGCCACCGAAAAUCAAGAGAUAGCCAAGUUUGUAUUUUACAAAACCAGAUAGCACAUCUGUUCGAACCACCUACAUUUUAGGAGCGGAUCUGCAGCCCAGGCCUAGUCGUUGGCCCAAUAACAUCAUAUAUCCUAUGUAAACUUUUAGCCCAACAAGGCAACAACCAAGGCCCAACACAUAACUGGCCUUAGCUCCAAGGCCUUGUUUACUUCCAGCCCAAAAUCUAAAAAAAAAUUCAAAAUUCUUCAUCAAAUUGAAUUUUUAGACAAAUUCUUCAACAACCAAGGCCCAACGCAUGGAGUAUUAAAUAUAGACAAAAAUAAAAACUAAUUACACAGUUUGGUCAAAAUUUAUAAGACAAAUCUUUUAUGCAUAGUUAGUCCAUAAUUAGACAAUAAUUAUCACAAACAAACGCAAAAUCAUGAACUAAAGACGGCCUAAAACUCUCACCUGUCUGUCUGUCUCCCAGUCCCUACUACGCCACACCAGCGUAUGCCCCACGACCCGCCAUAGUCACGCACGAGGGGAGGGCAGAAGGUGAGGAAUUGGCCGCCACUGACCGCUACGUCGCACGCAGCUGGAUCCCAGAGCCGCCCAUCCCGCCGGCAUCCCCAACUUCUUUCGCCAUUCCGCGUCCACGGCUUCCGCUUCCGUCUUGCUGAUGGUCGCCAGCCCCUAGACACUAGGUAUUUAUUUUCAUCUCAACAUAUGUGUCUGCAACAUUCUUACCAUCCUAGAGGCCUAGUCUUGAGUAAAACCGGGCUCUGCCACCGCUACUUUUUGCUAUGCAAAUUCUAAAACAACCUCCACAACAAGAAUAACCAAGCUGUUGGAGUUACUCUUAAAUGCCAGCAAUUGUAAAAGCUUGUUGUGACACUACUCUGGUAGACAAAGGUAACUUGUGUUUCUUUGCUUCAAUUAGCAGAACCAUUUAAGUACGAUAUGUAGACAGCAGGUGGUGCAUAUCAGUGUUCAUUGUCAGGUGGUUUAGUACAAAGCAUUAUCGAAACUUCACGCACUCCGCAUAACACUGAAGGCAGCAUUGCAGAUGCAAAGUAUUCAUAGCUUGAAGAAUAAAUAUAACCAAGUAAUCAUGAUGCAUAAAUAAUAAUUAGCUAAUUUGGACGCCACCAUCUCAUCAGCUAGAAUGGUUGUAUUAGGGAAAAAAAUUAUACAGUUUGUACCGAGGCUACGAGAUCAAGAGCUUUUUCUGUGCUGAAGCAUAAUGAACCUGGAUGAUGAUAUAGAUCCUUUCAAUCGAGAUGGCAAUGGUUGUCAUACUUGAGUACUCAACUACUCCAGUGGCAAUAGCCAUCUAGAGAAUUGCUAGCAGGUUCACAUGUUCAGUGUCAAGAGAAAUUGCAUGCAAAAAAACCAAAAUAACUCAACUCACCAUGAUGGCAUGAUGCAUAAAUAAUUAGGUACUUUGGAUGCCACAAUCUCAUCAGUUAGAACGGUUGCAUUAGGAAAUUAUAAAAAAUGAAUACAUAUGCAGGUAAUUAGGGAGUUGAGUAUGCCACUGCAAGAGGUACAAUGUUCCAAUAGAAACAGCCUACAGAACCGUACAGAAAUCAAAGAGGUCAUUGUAGUUUGUUAAGGCAACAGAAAGUUCUAGUUUUCUAUACCAUAAAAAAGAAAUCCUGAUUAGCAAACCAUCCAACCAUCAAAUUAACAUGCUGAGAUUAUUAGUACCUUGUUGCAGCCGACCUUGAAACUGAACAGGGUUGAUCUGUUUUUUCAGCAAGCAUGCUCUGACCAUGCACCCGAUAAAAUACUGCGUUUCUGAACAUUAUCUAUUUGAAGAAUUAAUAAUCUGUAGUGCGUCAUCCUCAUGUCGAUAAGAUUAGUUACACAGUAAACCGACUGAUAUUUGGUUGGAUGUACACUGAUCAUGUGUUUGAGCACAGAAGCUGAGAAGCAGAAACAUCGAUGGAUCGAUAAGAUUCUUUGUUGCAGUUGAAAAACCUUCAAAAAUAUUUAAGUCGGUUCCAAACUUAUGAACUGAAUAUAUAUCAUCAACGGGGGAUGAUGUAUAUGCAGAACCAAGCCGUCGUAAGGUACAACUGGUGGUACGUGGCCAACAAAUCUAUGAUCUUGUCAGCCUGUACCAUGUAACAAAAGCAUACGGUGAGCCUCAUAGCAGAGGUUAAAAAAAGACUUGCCAACAAAGUAACAUUCAUGACAGAGCACAGCGGAAAAAGUAGUGUGUAAAUGCCAUGUAUAAGUGGCUUCGUAUUCUUUCCAUUUUUCAUGACUGCUAGCAAAGAAUGGGUUGUAGACUUGGACAACAUUUGUAUUGCGAUAUGGCAGAACAUGCAUGAAGCGGAGGCUCUACACUAAUCUGUAAGUCAGCAAGAAUUGCAUAAACAGAAUCAACAUUUAGGUUAACUGGAAACCGAAGAAUGACAAUUUGUAAGAAGUAUCGUAGCACACCAUGAUCACCGGAUUCAUUGUUUUUUGUGAAAAUUGCCAGGAAAAACAAGGUAUGACCUGUUAUGUCAACAUGGUAUGAAUGGUAACUGUACAAAUGAUGAUUAUGGGAGCAGUUAUUAAGAAAUCAUAAAAACUAAAACAAUAUUAGCGAAAAAAAUACCUGUUUAGGUUCAGCUCGUUGAUCAAACAUACCCGUGCACGUCUCCAUCACAUUCUCGUUGUCGGCAUGCGCUAUCUGGUAAAUUAAGGAUGAGCUAUAAAUGGGUAUCCACAGUUCUUCUCUAGUCUAACCUAUUUAAGUAAAUGAACGAGACAGACACGGUGGUUGGAACCUUGGAGGAAAAUGCAAGAUCGUGUGGCCUAUGGUUUGCGCUUCAAAAUACUACGGCGGCUUGGGUCUGCCAAACAUGAGUCCUCGGGUUCACCCUUCGCCUCCAUUCGGACUGGCAGAAGAGGGUUGCAGAUGCGCCACCAUGGACCAAGCUGCCGUCCAAACUAGAGAAGCUUCUGAGCAUGUUCAGCUGCUCCGUCGUGGUCGAGCUUGGCCAUGGUGCUUCGGCUCGCAUCUGGACUGAUUCUUGGCUGCCAGUCAGGUCAAUUGCGACCUUUGCCCCGCACUUGUUUCGCACCAUUGGUCGUUGCUUUCUAUUGGUAUCCAUCAAGGAGGUGCUCUCCGGUCACCAUUACUGCGUCACAUCUCCGGGGCACACACCACGCCAGUGUUGUAUGAGUUUGUUGAUCUCUGGCAAAAGCUGGAGGACGUCCAGUUGCAACCGCUUGUGAGUGACCGCUUUAAUUGGCGAUGGACGCCACAUAGCACGUACUCAGCGUCCUCAGCAUAACGCUCAUUCUGGGCAUGUCCUCCCUGUUGGGAGCCAAGGAACUUUGGGAAGCUUCCGCGCCGCCAAAGGUGAAACUCUUCUGCUGGUUAGCCCUGCAUGGUUGCAUCUGGACGGUGUUAGGUUGAUCUCUGCCAACCCAAGUCCAAAGAAUGCCCCGGACCCUUGACCUCGUCCUGAUCGGGGGCGUCCAGCCCAAUGACUUGGCUGGUGGGCACCCGUUGCAGUGUAUAAAGAGAGGGUGGGGGCUAGGGCACAAGGUACGACGUUCAUCGCUACAGUGCCGUGAGUCCCCACCCUAACCCUAUACCGAUCCAAAGGGAAGCACUGCCAGCGACGGGAAGUCCGCUGCCGCGACUGCCUUGGACAACGUGCUUCUCUGCGAAGGUAAGGUUAGGUAUCUCUCUCAUCCUCUCGUCCUCACUUCCUCUCUGGAUCCAAGAUGUUCUAUGUUAUUUAUCCCAAAUGGAAAAGCGGAUUCCCCACUGAUCUACACUCUAGACGAUCUAAGAAUAUAACAAAUGGUAUCGGAGCCAAGGUUACCGUCGCGCGAGGCACCGCCCUCGCGCGGGCAAUGUGAGAAGAGAAAGAAAUCGGAUGAAUCCCAAACAUAAUGAAAGAAUCUUAACCUAAAUCCUAACGCUCGAUUAGGGUUUCGGUAAGAACUAACAGAGUAGGGAGGGAUCCGAUACGGUCGGAUCCUACCCCUAACCUUAGAAGGGAAAGAAGACGACGGAGAGGAUGGAUCCUACCUAGGGCCCACCUUGCUGCCGGCCGUCAAUCGACGCCGCGUAGAAGAACCGCGCCGCCUCUUCAUCGGCGUGCGCGUAGCUAAGCUGCACCGUCGUGGAAUUAUUCGACGGACGCGUGCUCGUCCUCGUGGGGAACGCGCUCGCCGACGAAUGACUCCAUGGCGGCGCCGCCGUUUCUCCUCUCCGGUCAUCACCGGCGGCCGGCUCCUGCUGCUGUUUUUUGCGGCGUGGGAGAGAGGAGAGGAACCAGAAAAGAAAAGAAAGGAAGGAAAGAAGGGGAGGGCCAGGGGCGCUCUCCCUCGGCGCUCUCUCCCCACCGGCGCUGAUCGCGGCCGGGAUCCAUGUCUGCCGCCGCGAAAGAAACAGAGGGAAAAAGAAUGGACUAGGGUUUAGGGAAGUCACCGGCUCAGGGUUUUUGUUUGCCGAGAUUGAAGAACGACCGUCGAUCUCGAUCGGACGGUGCAUAACAGCUGGACUGGGGCCCAAGAGGGUAACCGAAUUCCCGGCCCAGGCCCAGGUUGCGGCCUCGGCACGGGGAGAGCCGCUCGCCAUCUCCGCCGAUGGGUCGGCCUGCUUCGCCGACGCACGGGUCCCGGGCUGGGGUGGAAGGUGGCCGCGGGCCACUGCUGUGCCGCAGCAACAAUCGUGCGCAGGGGGAAAGAGAGAAGACCAUGGACUUUUCUCAAAAAAAAAAGAGAGAAGACCAUGGACCGGCCAGCCUGGGCCACGAGCUCUAACUAGGCCAUGGGGAGAGGAAAGGGGAGCGCGAGCUGCUAGAGAUUUUCGUUUUUCUAUUUUCCAGAAGCAAAUUUUGAAUGCAGUUUUGAAUAAAAUUGUAUAGUUUUGAUGCUAUUUUCUGUACAAAUAUUGUCCAAAGAUAAUUUUUCACAGAAAAUAGUAAAGUAUCUUAAAGAGUUUCUAGAAAAUAAAAUUAAGAGUAUACUAAAGUUUUCGCUGCGUACUUAUAAUUAUUUAUUUAUUUUUUCAUUGUUAAAGUCGAAGUAAAGGGAGAGUUUAAUUUUGAAAAAUAAAACAAAUACAGAUUAUUAUAAUAUUGUAAUUGUUCUAACCAAAGUUUAUUAAUAGCAAUAUUAUGAUGUUAUUAUGGUUUUUUGUCAUGCAUUAAUUCUAUUUUUGGCCAAAGGUAAUGUAGAAUUAGUGUAAAAGAAUUAAUUGUAUGUUAUAAUCUAAUGUGGAGAGCAGUUACAAAUAUUCAAUAAAUUAUAAUAUUUUUAUUUUCUGAGCAAAGUUGAUGAUAAAAAUAUUAUAAGUUAUGUUUAAAGUUUAAAUCUCUGAUGAAUUUUGCAUGAAAGUGACCAAUUUGUUAGAAAAUGGAUAAAGAUUUAGAAAUGUUCCUGAAAAUAGAAAAUAGUAGUAUUUUUCACAUUUUCGUUGUAGAGAUUAUUAUGAUACUGUCCUUUUCUGAGCAAAGUUUUCAAUAGUAAUGUCAUGAUAUUGUUUAUCAAUUAUAUAUAGUAAUGUCAUGAUAUUGUUUAUCAAUUAUAUGCAUUAAUUCUAUUUGUACCCAAGGGUGAUUUAGAACUGAUGUAGAAGAAUCAUGACAUUGUUUAUCAGUUAUAUGCAUUAAUUCUAUUUCUGCCCAAAGGUGAUUUAGAAUUGAUGUAGAAUGAUGAUUUAUUCUAUUUCUAUCCAAAGGUGAUUUAGAAUAUAAAAAGAAAGAUUUAAAAUUUUAAUGUGCAUGUCUUUAACCGGGUUAUUUUCAUGCUCCUUAUUUUCAUGCUCAUUAAUAUAAAAGGAUCUGCUACCUCGCUUUCUUAAAAGCAGAGGCUUUGCCUCCUUUGCCUCCUUUUUUUAAAAGAAAAAGGACAUCUUUGGAACUAAACAAGGCCUUACACGAGGAUGAGUCAAUACAACAAUUAUUGUUUAACCAUAAACUAACUAGACUCAAAAGAUCGUGUCUUAUAAAUUACAGAGAAAUUGUGCAAUUAGUUAUUAUUUUUAUCUAUAUUUAAUACUCCAUACAUGUGUUGAAAGAUUUAUUUAAUGUAAUGAGGAAUCAUGAGAACUAAACAAGGCCUUACACGAGGAUGAGUUGAUACAACACAUUUAUGUGGGUCUGUCGCCACCAGCAGAGAAUUGCGAACAGACUGUUCGCUUGAACUUACUAACUAAAUCAGUAAUAUUUUUUUAUAACAAAUCAACAAAAAGUAAUUUCUAUCAUAGCUUAUCAGCUAAACGAACAAAAAAUAAUGUAACGUGCCACAAAAAAUAAUGUGACGUUGACUUCCGCCUCAGUCCCUCACAAUACAUGAGAUUGGAUUGCAGCUAAACAAAAGUUCUGUAAUGUAUUCCAAGGUAUUUUAGAUUGUCAUCUAUUACUUAGAUAUCAAAAUUUGCAUGCAAACCUGGUAUGACACAGGCAAGUUCAAGGACCAAGUGACACAUCCACACAAUGACACUAUACAUAAAUAUAAUACUUAAGGCCUGUUUGGUACAGCUCACAACAGCUUCAUGAGCUGUUUUUUUUUGCCAAACACUUAUUUCCAAAACAACUUCAUUGAAGCUGUUUUUCUCCUCCUCUCACAAAGACAUAGUUGGAUGAAGCUGGAAAAAAGUAGCUUAUUGCAGCUUCUCCCUCAUUUCUCUCUCUCAACUAUGCAUGAAGUAGUUGGUGAAGCUAUUUUGCCAAACACUUUUUCCGAAACAGCUCAGCUUCAUCUAGAAAGUCACUCAUGAAGCUAUUUUCUAAAAAAACAGCUUCACUAGUGAAGUUGAGCUGUGCCAAACAAGCCCUUAAAAGAAGACGCCACAAACUAUUUUUUAACAAAACCCACGGAACAUGCCGCAAACUUGAUGUCUUAUCGAUUUAUAUAUACAGCGUAAAAAUAGUAAAUACGAUCCCUUCCUAGUCCACAACACGAAAUAGGUCCUUAAAUUUUAUUGAGAAACACGAGAAGCCUUUCCUGUGGAACCAUCGGAUAUACAGAAGAAGAAAGCAAAAUGGUUGGCAGGAAGGCAUGUCCAAAUGAGUUGGCAAGGCUAGCAGGAAAGUGAUGCAGGCAGACAUGACUCGAUCCAUAUCCUUCUCCCUGUAAUACAUAAAUACUGUGAGAAAAAUGGUCUAGAUGGAUGAUGUUCAUAUUAUACUUGCUUCACUUAGCAAGAGAAGGGUACCAUGCAAUAUGUGGCAUACCAAGCUCUUGAAUCUUCUCCCUGUAAUACAUAAAUACUGUGAGAAAAAUGGUCUAGAUGGAUGAUGUUCAUAUUAUACUUGCUUCACUUAGCAAGAGAAGGGUACCAUGAAAUCUGUGGCAUACCAAGCUCUUGAAUCGUGCCUGGGCAAAUCACAGGACCUCUACCAGACCGCGUGUCAUGAAGCUUGCUGCAGAGGGUGGUGCAACGAAACGUCUAGUAAUCAUCCGUGGGGCAGGCGCCCAGGGUCUGCCAGUGCAUACAAGGAUUAAUUUGUAAAGUAGUUUUUUUAUAACAAACUUCAUUAACUUUAACAGCAACAUACAGAGAGGAGCCUAAAAUGCUCCCAGGUUACAGACUGCAAUGCCUCUAGACAAGGCAAGAAAGAUAGCUGCUAUGAGCAGAACAUGUACACAAGAAUUGGGUAAAGGCAUGUGAUGGACUAAAGACUGCGGAGUAGCAUUUAGUGAGCGGUGAAUUUUGAGAGUCUUGAAGCCGUUUCCUGCCAUAUGUUCUAGGAAUACUUACUUUUUGUAAAGGCUUCUAGUUGUACUGUGCCUCUGCCAAGUGCUAUAUUUACAGGAUACAAUUGACAGAAACAGACACUAAAGAUAAUGAGUGGUAUACUUAGCUUCCAUACUAAUAAUUUCCAAGAUUUAAAAAUUGACAACUCUUAUUAUUCAUAAGCCUGAUAAAUAUAUUUCACUUGAACUUGAAAGCUACAAUGUUUAGACACCUUUGGAAAACAUUAUUUAGUUUCAUGAACCCAGUGCUUUGUCAUAUUAAAUUGACUUGAUUCACGUGAAAUUGCAUGCGAAAUUUCUGUGUGCCAAAGGGGGCCUUUGCAGUACUUUUCUAGUUGGAGAAAGAUGGUGGUCUCCCAGUAAGUGAAAUGCCAAGACAGGGUCUGCUUGGAAUGCGGGAAUUCCCGAUAUAGGUUUAAUUUCACUAGGAAGAUGCAGUUUUUUUUUUUUUUGGGGGGGGGGGGAUGCUCCAAAAAAAAACGAGGACAACAGUGAAGAACAGGUGCAUAUAUGCGUCAAUAAAUAAACAUACAACCAACCAGCACAAAUCAAUUAAGUAUAAUAUGAUACAUAAAAGCCAGCACAGCAGCAAAGCAAUACAUAUUAUUAUUACCUUGAGAGGAACUUGGAGAACUCGGAGGGGAGGAAGGGCAAGGGACAUGCGGACUUUACUUGGGUCAACUCAAUCUUAUCAGUGUCAAGGUCCGCAAACCCAUUGAGAUACUGAGAACAUGACUCCACGAUCUUGGUGCUCAUGUUGAUGGUGACCACCCACAUCUUCAUCAUCACGUACUCAUAGUCACAGCAAAGGAAGUGCACCACAUGUGGCCUGUAGAUGUCCACCUGAGGGAA